CAGAUACGAUGCGUCAACAACGCUGCGUGCUCCGGCAACCCGGAGACGGUGAUCAUCACUGACAUGAACUACUACCCGGUCUCCAAGUACCACUUCGACCUCAGCGGCACGGCGUUCGGCGCCAUGGCCAAGCCUGGGCGCAACGAAGAGCUCCGCCACGCCGGCAUCAUCGACAUCCAGUUCAAGAGGUGGGUAACAUGCGCCGCACGUUGCUCUGAGCCACAAAUCCACAAUCUGCAGGCCCCACCUGAACAGAAUAUAAGCUCCACUGUCUAUCUACUUUGCGCUGCAUGUGGAGGAGUGAAACUCCUGUAGAUUCGCGGAAAUAUUUAGUAGUUACUGUACCUACUCCUAAUCUCUAGAUUAGGACUGUAGCCUGACAAGAACAAGACUAAUGGAAACUUGUCACAUGCAGAGUGCCCUGCAACUACCCCGGGCAGAAGGUGACGUUCCACGUCGAGGAGGGCUCGAACCCCGUCUACCUUGCUGUCCUCGUCGAGUUCGAAGACGGCGACGGCGACGUGGUGCAGGUGGACCUCAUGGAGGCCAACUCCGGGUACUGGACGCCGAUGCGCGAGUCCUGGGGAUCCAUCUGGAGGAUGGACUCGAACCACCGGCUGCAGGCGCCCUUCUCGCUGCGCAUCACCAACGAGUCCGGCAGGAAGCUGGUGGCCAACCGGGUCAUCCCGGCCAACUGGGCGCCUAACACCUACUACCGCUCCAUCAUCCAAUACUAGUUCAGCCACUGCGCUCUGUAACUCGCUGUCAUUGGCUUAAUUGUAUAUGGUUGGUGCGUUUUUACUAGGUAGUAGUAAUUAAGUGAGGAACCAGAAGCCCGGCAAUGCCGUAGGUGUUGUGUUUCAGCAAGAUUGGCAGAGUAGGAGAUGAGGAGGCUAGUUUGGAUGUGCUUUCUCGCCCAGUGUCAAUGUAUUUAUCAGUGUGAUCAAGACUAUAAAAAGGUUUUUCUUAAUUCAGAACGUCUAUGCUUCGCCCAUACCCUUAUGUUUGUCGCUCCUCUUGAUUAUUAUUCGGCACAAGUUGCUCAUAUAUUCAGCGCAAAUUACUUUACUAUACUCCCUCCACGCAUAACUAAGUGACCUUUAUUUUUGUGUUGCCUGUAGACUGUAGUGAAUAUUCUAAACACUAGCUGUAGAUUAUUCUGUUAUGUAUUGAGUUUGGAUCUUUGAAAAUUACAUAAAUAGAUUUGUCUUGGAACUAGUUUCACAAUAGUUUCUAAAUCUCAAUGCACAGUCUUGUUACACUAUUACCAAGACUGGGUACAUGGUAACCGAGCCAGAUGGGUUUCAUGAGGAUGAAUCCUCUCUCAUUUAAUGAAACUCCCCCUCCUCUCUCCUCAUAUUGAUCUUGCCAAAUCAAAAAAAUUGCUGAUGUGGUAUAGAAUUUAAUGCUCAUGAAACUCCCAUGAAACUCUCCACUGAGACUGGCAUAAAGACGAGUCAAAAUGGCGUGCUUUGAAGACCAUACAUGGCCUCUUGUCCAAAAUGUAACUUGCUUAUCCCUUGUUUGGGAUUAGAGAUUGUAUUAUUUUUUUAUUUAAGGUCUUGUUCAGUACGUAGUUUUUAGGGCUGUCUAUACAUCACUUGGGUGAUUUUAGGGCUCUCCUCACCCAUGUAAUUUGGCAAGUCAAAUCACCCAAAUCUUUGGAGAAGUAGGAUUUGGUGAUUUGUUGGGUGCCCUCACACAGGUGAUUGGGGCACCCAAAGCACCUAAAAAAAAUCUGAAUGCUGGAUUCUAGGUGAAACAAACAAGUUCCUCACCCAAAAUUGACUAACACAGAUUUGCUAAAAAACUAACAACAUAUAUGAAAUGAAAUAAACUAGACACAAAUUCAAACAAAAAUUAAAUAGAAAAGUAUGCAAAGUAUGCAAGAUCAAAAGGAGCUACAACAUGAAAAAGUGCACAUAUACAACUAGCAGGUUCAUGCAUGAAAAAGUGUGCAAAGAUCAAAGGAGCUACAAACAAAGAAAGUGCACUGAUACAAUAGCAGGUUCAUACAUGAAAAAAGUGUGCAAGACCAAGGGAGCUACAACAUGAAUUCAGUAGCCAAAGAUUCUUGGAGUUUUCAUGGGCAUUUGGAUAUCAAUUGACAGCUUUUGAAAGUGUGCAGAAACCAAGCAAGAAGCCAUAUAGCCAAUCUUUGGAUUGCAUUUCUAGAGAAUUUUCAAAAAUAUUUGAGAAAAAAAUAGACAACAAAUACAUCUAGCAGGUUGAGGCACAUCUGGCUACUGACAUCACCCAUCAUGGCAAAGUUGAAAAAAAUAAGAUAGCAGGCCCAGCCAAACAAAAUAACAACUAGCGGGUAGAGCAACAUUUGGAUCAAAGAGAAAGUAGCUGAUCUAGCUACACAACUGACAGAUUUGACAUAAAAUUUGGCUACCACAUUUGCUACUAGAUCAACGUAACACAAAAUGCAGGUGAUCAUCGUACUGAACAACAUACAUGGAUGGAAAUGCAUAAUUUAUAAAACAAGAAAAGGGGAAAGCUAAAAUGGCAAAUAGGAAAAGCAUCCAUUAGAUCAGACUUCACCCAUCAUGUUUAAUGGAUGCAUAAUUCUAUGGUUUCUAAAUUACAAAUAUUGUGUGUAUUUUGUAAAGCCCUCAAAUGGAAACAGGAAAAAAGAAAAAUUAAAUAGUCAAAAGAAAAAAUAUUCCAAAAAUUAUACUAUGAUUUGUAAAAGAACAAAUGUUUAGGUGCCUAAUGUAGCCCCACAAAUGCAAAAAAGUAGACAUACAGCAAAAAGGGAAAAAUAUACAAAAUUCUUCAAAAAAAUUUCUAUGUUUUCCAAAUAUUGUGUGGAUUAAUGAAACCCCACAAAUACAAACUAGAAAAAUGGCAGAUUUAAAUAGUCAAUCAAAAUAAUUCAAAAUUUUCCUAUGGUUUACAAAACAACAAAUAUUGAGGGGGUCAGAUGUAGCCCCUCAAAUGCAAACUUGACAUACAACAAAUAGAGACAAAUGACAAAGAUGCAAAACCAAAUUAAAAAUGGCGUAGGUGCAUGAUUCCCAUAGGAGAGAAGAAAAAUUCAGAGAAGACUAAUCAUGAACCAAUUAUGUAUUAGCAUAAGCAUAAUAGUAAUUAACUGGAUUAAUAAAAGGGUAAAACUGACCAGAAGUUCACAUAAACUUGAAAAAAAUACAAGGCACGAAAAAGUUUUGGUAUCAAACUAUUACACAAUAACGGAAAGUUCUAGCAACAGAUGACCUAAAAUUUAGUAGCAACAUGCAUACUAGUAGCUAUAGAUAGCUAGGAGAAAGUAAGAAGCAAUUUCCAUCAGAAGUUGUGAUCUACACAUAUGAAAACAAAACCACCUUAAAUUCUCAAAUUCAAUCAUUUAAGAUAAUUACAUGUAAAGAUGGCAAAAAUUACACCAAAUAAGCUACUGUCAGAUUAGUCAAAACAUAUUGUAAUUCAGAUCUUGUGAACAUAGGGAACACUAUUACAGAAAGACAAAUAACAUCACCAACAUUAAGUGGAAUGUGGCAUAAAAGUACAUACUGCAGUCACAUCUUUCUCUUCUUAGAGGAACUAGCGCCAUCAUCUCUGAUCCUUAGAGUCCUCCUUUCUUCUGCCUUCUUCUGGGCCCUUUCCUCUUUCUUGCGUUUCAAAGUACUCUUUGUCUACCUCAGAUUUCCAUUCAUCAGGGUUGGCAUCUCUGACAUUGAGGUUAAGUCUGCUAGCCAAAUCAUCUUGAAGGUAAACAAAUGACAUCUUUCGAAAUCCGAUCAUAGUGUUCUCACAAACUUGGACUUUCCCAUGGAGUUUGUUAGCAUCAGCGGGAGAAGAGCACUUCACAAGAAAUUCCCCAGAAGCAGCAAUCUGAUCAAUCUUGAAAUCACCAUUAUUAAGCAUAUUCUGAAUAACUUGGGUGACUUUGUACAAGACCUCCUCAGAAGGAAAUGCUUUUUCAACAGCAGCAUACACUAGGGUGUUGGUGGGUCCAUCCUUUAGAUCCAAAUUCUGCGCAAGGGCCUUGUUUAGAAAGACAUUCACCUCAACAAGUUUCCCCACCAAAUUCAGCAUUUUCCUAAUUAUCAUGAAAAAAUAACAAAAUUAUACAAAGGUGCUAGAAACUAGAAAUAUUAAAUCAGACAUGAUAGAAUUGACAUGAACAUUUUGUACAAAUGACAGUACAAUGUGCGCUGUCAAAUUCGGCAGUAAGCACUGUCGUAUCUCAAAAAUAUAACAUAAGUACUAACAAAUGCUCAUGUAUGAUUAUCAUAAGGAAUAAAGGAAAAAAAUACCAGGGGAGCAAAACCAGAAAUGUGCUUAGGAAAAAAGGAAGAUCAAUUACAUGACCUAGCUGUGCAAAAAAGUGAUAAACAACUUGAUAUAGUGCAUAUAUGAAAAAUAUGACACUAAUUCUGUAUUAGAAUACCUUGAAGCUAGUUGGAGAAUAAAGAACAACUCUGCAAAAACAGAAAAUAAAAAAGUGAGUAUAUAAGAGGCAUAAUUAGAUUCUGAAUGGAUACAAUUUUAAGGUAACAAUAAGAAAAAUUAAUAUAAACUUAGUGCUAACCAGAUUUACAUGAACAUGAUAUGCAAAUGACAGUGCAAUAUACACUAUCAGAUCCUACAUAAAGUACUAUCAAAUUAAAUGAAUAUAUAUAGUGUCAUAUCUAAGCAUAUACCAUGUGUGCGAUAUAUCUCAGCUCGCCCAUAAAUUAAAUGACACAGGUAGAACACCACAGAAAAACAAGCAUUUUCCUUAUGAAAAUAUAAAAUGAGAAGGAGUAUUAACUUAAGAACAAAAGAAAAAGAAUAACUAUAAAAGUUGGGUGACAUAAAAAUUCAAAUUUUGAUAACUAAUUUAGACCAAAACCAAUGGCACCAUGAGCUCUAGACCCAACCAUAAAUUAGCUAUCAAUUGGGCUUGUCAACAACCUAAAUCAUGUCCAUCUCCGAUUGUAGGAAAAUUUAAAAUCUUUAAAUUCUGCACACAGCCAACAGUGAAGGCUGAUGCCAAACCUCACCCAUAAAUCAGAACCCUCCACUGAUAGCUGGAGGGACCACGUCAACCAGCUGAGAAAUCACUAGUAGGGGAUGUAAAAAUAAAGAGAGCAAAUUUUGAACAAAGAUAUAAAGCAAACGUGAAACAAGCUGAAGAAAGCACACAAGCACCAGGCAUCAAUAAUACGCUGAAAAAGUACACAAUUUUAAAUAAAGUGGAAAGAAUAGGUUUAUAUGCUAAUAGUAAAAAAUGACAUAGAACUGUGAACUGUCAUAACCUAGAUAUAGUAUUGAGAAAAAUUGAUCAAACAUUGACACGAACAUAUUAUACAAAUGACAGUACAAAGUGAAUUGUCAAAUUGAGCAAAAUGCGCUGUCGUAUCUGACAAUAUACCUAAAAUACUAUCAAAUCAUAUAUAAAAACUACUUCAUAUUAAGAUAAGGUAGAAAAACUUUAAUGGCUGCACAAAGCCGAUGUUGAAGGCCGAUGCCAAACAAUGCCCAUAAAUCAGAAACACAGUUUUUGAAAAGUGCACAGUUUCAAUAAACUCGAAAGAAACACAUUUAUAUACUGAUUGUAAAGUUGACAUGAACAUACUUAACAAAUGACCCAGUGCGCUAUGAACUGUCAAAACCAAGAUAUGGUACUAUGAAUUUAAUAAUAUACACUGUCAUAUAUCAGAAAUUGCUGGAAUUGGCUAGUUGGAAAAGCAGAAACAUCUAUCAGAAUAAAUAACAGAAACAAAAAAAGAGACCGAAAAGAGAAGAAUUAUGGUUGAAAAUUACCUUCGAGGGAGUUGGAGAUUAAAAAGAACAAAUCUGCAUAAAAAUAAAGUAAUUUAGAACAAAGAGUGAGAAAAAUUAUUAAUUACAUAGAGUAUUUACUAGGCAACAUUUUUUUAAGAAAAAGAACAAGUUUUAGUAAAUCAUAAUCAGACCAAGAAAGCGAAAUGGCAACAAUAGCUCUAGACUCAACCAUAAACAACACUUUCCAAUUAGCUUGCCCUUUGAAAAACGUAAAAUGUGUCCAACCCGAUUGGAGGGAAAAUUAAAAUCUUUAAUGGCUGCACACAGCCAUCAGUGAAAAAGGCCUAGGCCAAAAGCCCACCCAAAAAUCAGAAUCCUCCACUAUGAGCAGGAAGGUACACGUCAGCCAGCCGGAGAAAUCAAUAGUAGGAAUAUACUUAACAAAUGACAAGAGCAUACUUAACAAAUGACAGUACACCAUGAACUGUCAGAAUCUAGAUAUAGUACUGUGAAAUUAAAAAUAAGCACGGUCAUAUAUAAUAAAUAUAUCAUCUGCAUGUUGUAAAAAGAACUAUACAACAGAAACUGUUAGAAUAGAUACUACUUCUAAAAUUGAAAAGGGAUAUGACAAACUACAAAGGCAAUUGAAAAAUGUAAUAUAGAAAACAUAGAAGAUAGAAAGCACACAAAAUUGUAGUAAACUAAUCUGUAGAUUUAUGACUAGAGAGGCAGAUAAAAAGUGUAGUGACAACAAGUUAGUAAAGUAGAAUAACAACAUCUAUAAAAGAAAAAAAUUAUGUACCUUCAUUGCAGAUUGAUUUGAAUCAGGAGAAGAAGAUUGAAUUAAUCUCUGAUGAAAAGAAAAGAAUAGAUAAAACAAAUUAGUUUAUAGAAAUUUGCAUGUAGAAGCAUGAAAUAAUUAUAGAAAUUCCAACAUAGAACCAUUAAAAAAGUGGAUAUGACAAGGCCGAUGUGGCUGACCUAUACAGAGCUAGUAGAAAUUCUAGGAAAAUACACUAUUGACAGCCUAACAAUAGAUGCCAUGAGAAAAAUACAUAGAUCCAAAAAUAUACACCAUUCAGAUAUCUUACACCAAUGCCAAAAAGGAUGAGCGCAUGGUAGAAGACAUAUGGGUACAUAAAGCCACCAAACAGCAGCAAAAUUUGUGAUGAUCAGUCAAGAUUUUCAGGAACCGAGAAGAACAAUACUAAAAAGAUUUCCAGGAACUGAGAAGAACAAUACUAAAAGUCCUACAUUGUAAAGUAUUAUACCAAGCAGAGGUAGUAGCAUUUUUUUAUGAACCGGAACAUUACAGUUCAUUGGCACAUGUAGAAAUGAUAUUUAUAACUGCAGCAAUAAUAGCAAACGGAGUUAGUAGCAUUUUAUAUGAACCCCAACAAGAAAGUUUGCUACCAGAACUGCAACUAGACAAAACAACAUCAUCCGAAAUAGCAAGUCAAUGCUCCAAAUAGACACAUCAUCUGAUGCGAUUUGGGAUCCGCAUGAACAUUUGAACCAAAAUCAACUGCGGAUAAUAAAAAUCACCACGGAUUUGCUAAACCACACAGUACAAUGAUACUCCAUAAUACCAAAUCGUAGUAGAGAUCAAUCAGAACUACAUUUACAGAGAUUAAAUCAAUCAAAUCGAGAUCUAAAAUACGCAAUCAAAAGUAAAAAAAAGGAACCAAAAUAGCAUAGAAAUGAGCAUCCAGAACUGCAGUGGGACGUCGACGGAAGGGGUGGGUGGAGACGUCGAGGAUGGCGAGCUCCGGGCAGUAGCAGCAUGAGAGGAACAUGGGUCGGCGGGGUCCAUCACAAAUUUGAAGGCUAUAUGUGUCCUCUUGUCCAAAACGUAGCUUACUUAUCUCUUUCCCUUGUUUGAGAUUAGAGAUUGUAUCGUUUUUUUGUAUUUAAGGCCUUGCUUAUUACGUGGUAUUACGUGGGAGUUACUAGUUUUAUAUCACUAAACACUUUUUUUUCCCUUUCUUAUGAAAAUUUUGUGCUCCAAACACAUGCACUGUUGACUGUUCAGACCAUAUACCAACGAAGUUCAUGCAGUCACUUCCAAUGACCGCACCAGUUGAGGGGAAGUUAGUACAGGCACCAUAGGCUUUAAACUAAAGUAUCGAACCUAAAGUAUCUGUGCAUGUGGAGGUUCAACGAGAGUCUCCAGAUUAAAACGAAGCCCAUCAACAAGUUGGUCCAUGGCGCUAAAUGCUUCUUAAACGUAGUCGCUCUCGCUGCGCUGCAAAAACAUCUCUAUCUGUGCUCCGCCCCAGUAGCUCAGCUGUCGACGAGUUUUCUUUUUCGGACACAGACGGAGAAGAUAAGGACGCAACAGGAAAGGAGGGCCCUGAAUUUUUUCCCUAUUCCUAUUCUGCUCGAUCGCCCGAACAAACAGUUAGCUCCGGAAAGAUACAAGGGCAACUGACGCGGUGAUGUGUCCACUCGCAUGUGCGAGGGAGGGGAGCCGGACGCCGACCGCCGCGCGGCGCUGCGCUGCACAUUUGCAUGUGAGGUGCGGGCCACCGCGGAGAAGGCAACGGCCGCCGGGCCCGGGCUGUCGAACCAACCAGUGGCCGGCACGAAGAGCCGCGGUGCUCUCGCCAUCAGCCGAGGCGCGCAGCGAGCUCGCGCGCCAGAUUUGCUGGCCCCGCGUCGUCGUCGCGCUCGCAUCCACCGUUGCCGCGGCUGGCCGCAGGUCUCGUCUGCCCCGUCGUCGUCCGUAGUGUUCUCCGGAGGCCGGGCGACCUGUGGAGCCGUGGGCCGUGGCAUCGUGGGCGAUGUCUUCGGUUGCGCGCGCACGGCGGCAUGGGCUGCUCGCAAAGUGGGCGGGGUAUGGUUCAGGAAUGCAGCGCCGGGGUAGUGUGGGGCUACUGGGUUGCACCUGCACGUAUCAUCAGCAGACCGAGUAGCACUUCAUGCAAUCACGGAUGGCCUAACGCUCAGUUUGAUGUUGCUUCUGAGAAAACGACCUAACUUCUUGUGCAUUCAGCGGCAAAGUUUAGAAAUGUCCAGGCAAGACGUCCGUACGUGGUUGGCUUGUAGAAAUUCCUAUUUGGGUACUUAAAUAAGGGGCAAUCAAAAUCUACCGGUUCAAUCUGAAACAGCCCAAUUUGCUGCGUUUUCUUUCAGUUGAUGCUAAGAUUCUUGCUGGUUUUCCUGAGAUUACUACCAGCAAUCAUCUUCAGAAAUGGCACACACGCAGUUUGCAGGCGAUCGAGGCAUGUGCUAUGCAGGAAGAAAGAGAAAGCAACAUCACGUUCGCUCACUCCUAAACGCACCGAGCACACGACAAUUCGCAUUUCGAAAGUGGGCGGAGAUGCCAACUAGUACAACGGUGGAUGACUUACACGGCUGCACAAUGUGUAACACGCCCGAAUGGCCACAUGCACAUCGACUCCGUGGGUUAAGGGAAGUCCCAAGUUACCCGUCUACCACCUGCAAUUUUGCAUAGGCCAAAAGAAAAUCGGGCAACCCAUGUUCACUUCAGUGGUUCAAAUUAUGUUCCACUUGUCGUACAUACAUCUAUAGGCCCGAAAGGUUUGAACAUAUCCAAAUAUAAGGUUGGACACCGAGACGCAUCUAACAUGGAAAGAUAGAAAUUAAUCGAGGAUUACGAAAGUAUUCGUUGUAAUAGGGUAGGCUUCUUUUAGUCGUAUCCGACUAGUAUUAUUGUAACCAACCGACUAUAUAAGGCGAGGCAGAGACCUCCUCUAAAGCAAUUCAAUCCAACCAACACACGGGACAUAGGGUACUACACAAUCUAGCGGUCCGAACCUAUCUAAAUCGUGUGUGUGCUUUUACCUUCGAGUUCCUGAUCUCGACGAGCCCCACCAACCAAAACACUACCUCGGGUACCCCCCUCAGUAGGUUGUCGGGUCUAAACACCGACAGCUGGCGCGCCAGGUAGGGGAUCUCGCCGAGAAUCCACUAGCGAACUCGAUGGCACAAGUCAUCACAAGCCAAUCGUCAUAUUUGAAGCAGGCGCGACGUUCAUCUUUGGCUCCUGGGUUUGCAUUGCAAACGGCGCUGGAAAUUUCCGCCGCCACAUUACGUCAACCCCGGAGAAGAAGCAACAAACCAUGAAGCUCCAGCACCACGCUCUGGAGGAUCUCAUCGAGAAUUUUGGCGAAUUUUCAAUUUCUGACCUAGUCAGAGGCUGCGGGGACGAGUCCGAGUUCAACUCGACUUCUUCCACUGGUCGGAUUGACUUGCACGACCCGGCACAUAAGCCAUCGUGCGAGUCAGAUUACUACUAGAGUCGAUUCCUAUUCGGACUCCGCAACGCGACCACUAUUUAUUAGACAGCCCUGUCCAAAUUACAAUCCGAUACGGAUACGAUCGAGGACCUCGACUACUACUCGAAUCCGGAUAAGGAGACUCCUUUAUCAGGUCCGCAGCAGGGCCUGGUAAUCACAUCAACUCCUCAAGGCAGAUUCAUCUAGUGACCCAACAUGAAGCCAUCCGCUCUUGCCAAGGACGACGAUUCACGCCUCAUGGCCUACCUCGACACUCUCCCGUACUAGGAGGGAGCUCAUCUGUCGCCCAUCUACGAGGAAGGUGGCACCACGGAGGUGAUCACUUCAAACUUGGGAAGCUACUCUCUAGAGCAAGAACUCUUCACCGUUGUUGCUGGACAAGAGAACGAAGAACAAGAGCGAGGGGACAGAAACCCGUGACAUGAGCGUCACCUAGAUGACGUCUUGAGGAUGAGCUCACCGCCAACGUUGUCGAAGAAGAGACCGAAGCUCAAAGAACUUGACAAUGAGCAAGAAAUACACAAGAGCAGAGCACCGCCACCGCCUUUGAAGCAGUUCAAACGCAUCACCAUCGUACUCCACUGGCUACCGUCGCAUCUAUUGAUCUCAUCACCCACACGAUGCCCUAGAACAAGUACACUAGACAAUUGGCUGAGCUGGCGGAACUCGCGUAUGAACAACUCGAUCAGCAGAAUCCGAUACAGUCAGUCCAAUGCUUCGCAUCCCAGCGAAGUCAACAUGGCAGUAGCCAUAGAGGCCCUCUGUCCAGACCAAGUCAACUCAGAGGCGGGCAGAACACUCGGGAGGCCGUCGCCACCAUGAGGCUAACCUAGAGCCUGAAUGCCUAGUAGGAGACCUCUGCAACAAGAUCAAUGCCAGCCACGAUGCCCAUACCAUCAUCGAUGGAUGGCAUCGUGAGCGUGAGCAAGAAGUCAAACACCCAGGGGAUUAUACUGAUGGAUUCCGCGCCUUCUCCAGAUGUGUAAGGAGGACAACUCUACCCGAAAAGUUCAAACCCCCAAGCAUCAUCAAGUACGAUGGCAAGCAAGACCCAAUCCAGUGGCUUCAGUGCUACUUGCUAUCAGUACAAUCAGCUGGGGGAAACGAUGACACCAAAUUCGUCUACUUCCCCAUCUGCAUGGAGGCGGCGCCACUCAUAUGGCUUGAAUCGUUGGACAAGAACUCCAUCGACUCGUGGAAGGAUCUCAAUGUGGUGUUCACCAACAAUUACGCGGGGCCAAUGCAGCACCCUGGCAACAGGAUCAACUUAGCCUAGGUCAAGCAACAAGAAGGUGAGACCCUGCGGAGCUACUUACGUCGCUUUUUCAACAAGAAGGACACAAUUGUGGAUGUCACGGAGUGCGACGUCAUUGACUGCUUCCAGAAUGGCCUCCGCGACCGUCGGAUGUUUCAAGACUUCGGCAGAAGAUGCCCCGCUGAUGUCAAUCUCUCAAGAUCAUGGCACAUACGUGGGCAGAUGAAGAAGAUAGGAAGAUCGAAAAGUUCGAGUCCAAUUGCAACAAGGGCUAGAACAACAACAAUCAGAAUAAUGGUCAACACAACGACAAGAACCGCAACGAUCGCCACAACAAUGACAAUCGAAAUAACUACUCAGGAAGUUAGAACCGCAAGCGCAAGCCAGACAAUACUAUCAUGGCAAUCUCGCAAUCGUCCAAGAAAGGUGGUGGCAGGAACCAAGACAGGCCCUCGUUUAACGAGCUCCUGAAGAAACUUUUCCCAUGGCACCCAUACCACAAGCACUCUGUGUUAGAUUGUUUAAGUCUACGCAAAGUCAUAAAGGACCUGCCAGAGCCAUCUGGCACCAAAGAUAAGGGCAAGGCCAAGGAAGACGAAUACGACGGUGACAAUGGCAAGUUCCAGAAUCCAUCCAACACUGUCAACGUCAUCUUUGGUGGAACCCUGAUCCCAGAAGCUCACUCUUCGAGAGAUAAUGUCUAUUGAACAUGCGGCACCAACGUUCCUCAAGUGCUCCGAGGUGCUAAUUACCUUCUCCAAGAGGGACCAAUGGACUAGUUUCUCAGACCCACAGCGCUAUCCCCUCAUCUUUGACCCAGUUGUCGUUGGCUCCAGACUUACCAAAAUACUCAUCGACGGCGGCAGCGGUCUCAACGUCCUAUUCGCCAAGACACCGAAGAAGAUGGGCCUCGACAUCACCGAUAUGCUCACCCUGACGAACUCUCUGUUCUACGGGAUCGUCUCGGGCAAUGCGGCUGUACCCCUCGGACAGGUGGUUUUGCUAGUUACCUUUGGGAUCAAAGAACACUACUGGACAGAAUACAUCCAGUUCGAUGUGGCAAACUUCGAAACAUCGUACCACAGCAUCCUUGGAAGACCAGCAUUGGCCAAAUUCAUGGCCAUCCCGCAUUACCUGUACUUAGUACUCAAGAUGCAGUGACCCAAGGGAGUACUCUCCCUGCGCGGAGACUUGAAGAGGUCGUACGACUGUGACACAGAAGCUGUGGAGCUAACAACAACUACUCAAGUACCAAACUCAAUAAUGCAAGUCUUUGCCGCAUCCAAAAAGCUAUCGUCGUCAGAGCUCAAGAUUCUAGAAAAGAAGUCGGGGGCAACGAAGGUCAAGCCGGCAAGUGAAGUAGACGUCAAAGCCAUUGACCUUGAGAUGAACCCAGAGAAGAUCUCUGCCAUCACCGAUAUGCAUGCCCCAUCAGGCAUCUAGGAUGUCUAGAAGCUAACUAGAUGCAUGGCGGCCCUCAACCGAUUCAUCUCAAGGCUUGGAGAACGGGGCCUACCCUUCUUCUAACUACUCAAGCGACAAGACAAGUUUCAUUGGACUGAGGAGGCAGAUCAAACCCUACAACAAUUGAAGGACUUCCUAUCAAAGCCACUAAUCCUCACGACGCCAAAACAAACGAAGACUUGCUGCUUUACAUCACCUUGACUACUCAUGUUGUCAGCACGGCGAUAGUGGUUGAAAGACUGGAACGAGGCCAUGUAUUCAAAGUACAGACGCCCGUCUACUUUGUAAGUGAGGUGCUGUCAAAUUUCAAGACCAGAUAUCCACCAGUUUAGAAGCUGUUCUACGCGAUACUGCUCACCUCAUGGAAGUUACGACAUUACUUCCAAGAGCACAUGAUCUCCGUCAUCACAGAUUUCCCUCUCGGAAAUUCUCCACAAUCAGGAUGCAACAGGAAGAAUAUCUAAGUGGGCGGUACAACUCGGAGCAUUGUUCCUGGAAUUCAAGUCGAGGAUUGCAAUCAAGUCCCAGGUCCUAGUCGAUUUCAUGGUAGAGUGGCGUGCAAAUCAACUACCAAUACCAGCGGAGCGUCUAGAGCAUUGGUUCAUGUAUUUUGAUGGAUCACUCAAGCUCGAGGGCGCCGGUGUAGGAGUACUCUUGAUAUCUCCCAAAGGCGAACAACUCAAGUACGUCUUGCAAAUCUUCUGGGAAGUGUCCAACAAUGAAACUGAAUACGAGGUGCUUCUGCACAGGCUUUGCCUGAUAGUCUCGCUAGGAAUAAAGCGAUUGUUGGUCUACGAUGACUCACUGGUGGGGAUCAAUGAAGUCAACAAUGAGUGGGGCUGGCACAAGGAGAACAUGGAUGCGUACUGUCUAGAAGCUCAAAUCUACUCGCGCUCAAGUUCCAGCAGGGGUUUUCAUCCAUGAGCUACACAAGCCAUUCAUAAUGGAGCCGGCACUAUCAACAACCACCGAUCGAGAUCCUACCGCACCAGAUCGGAAGGUUAUGAUGAUCGAUGUAGACUGGACUACUCCCUUCAUUGACUACAUCAAAGAGCACAAGCUACCUUCAGACAAGAAAGAGGCAGAACAAGUCUCACGGCGUAACAAGUACUAUGUUCUAGUCAGAGACAAGAUGUACAGAACAGGUGCAUCAUCAGGGGUGCUCAUGUAGUGCGUCUCACGCCAAGAUGGCAAGGAUAUCUUGGAGGAGAUACACAAAGACAUCUACGGUAACCAUGCAUCCUCACGGACAAUUGUGGGCAAAGCUUUUAGAUUUGGGUUCUAUUGGUCUACGGCUCUCACUGACGUCGAGGGACUAGUUCGUCGAUGUCAAGGGUGCUAAUUCUUCAUCAAGCAGCAACACGUCCCUGCCUACAAGCUAAUCACCAUACCACCAUCUUGGCCCUUCGCAUGCUGGGGGCUUGACAUGAUCCACCAUUACCAACUGUGCCUGGGGUUUUCAACUGCGUUCUGGUGGCCAUUGACAAGUUUACCAAGUGGAUCGAGGUGAAGCUAGUCACUUUCCCUAAAGCAGACAAAGUACUCGACUUUCUCAAUGAGCUUGUUCAUCACUACGGCUUUCCCAAUCGCAUAAUCACAGACCUGGGUUCAAACUUCAACAACCAUGGGUUCUAGAAAUACUGCGAGAACAGUGGGAUCAAUGUUCGGUACGUCUCCGUUGCUUAUUCGCGGGUCAAUAGCCAGGUUGACAGCGCCAACGGGAUGGUGCUAGACGCUCUCAAGAAAAGGCUGCACGACAUCUCCAACACCAAGGGAGGCAAGUGGUUCAAGGAGCUACCCAAUGUACUCUGGGGGCUACGUACCCAGCCAUGCAAGCCUAUAGGGCAAUUGCCCUGCUUUCUCGUCUACGGAUCUGAAGCCAUGCUACCCGUUGAUGUCAUGUGGAAAUCCCCAAUAGUUGAGCAGUAUGAGGAAGGCGCAGCAGAAGAAACAAGGCGUCUAGAUAUUGAUAGCCUCGAAGAAGCUCGCUGCAUAACACUCAUCCAGUCCGCAAGAUAUCUCGAAGGUCUUAGCCGCUACCAUGAUUGAAACAUCAAAGAAUGAUCUUUCAACUUAGCCAACAUGGUCCUUCACCGUAUCCAGGACACUAAAGGGCUGCACAAGCUGAACUCACCAUGGGAGGGGCCUUUCAUCGUCUCCAAGGUCACUAGACCUGGAUCAUAUCGACUAUAACACCCCUUUGGUGAAGACAUCGAUACCUCGUGAAACAUUGAGCAACUCUGUCGAUUUUAUCCUUAAUUUAGAUUUACAUAUUUAUGUAAUCGGCCAUUGACCCUAGUUGUAGAUUUACAAUUAAAUAAAAUAGUCAUAUUUUUAUCAUAAUUCGACUACUUAUUUUUACCUUAUCACUGCUUGCAGAAGCAAGUUCAUAGUACUCAUAAUGAGCUAUUCAGCUCCUUAGGCAAAAUCACCCAAUCGUGGCUUGUAAUAACAAGUUUGCAAAACUCCGACGAGCUAUUCAGCUCCCUAGGCAAAAUCGCCCAAAUACAGCUUGUAAUAACAAGUUUGCAAAAUUCUAAUGAGUUAUUCAACUCAUUGAACAGAAUCAUCCAAUUGCAGUUUGCAAAGCAAGUCUGCAGUAAACUUCGUGAGUUAGUUAACUCAUUGGAGAAAUCUGUCCCUUGGUGGCUUGCAAAAAAGAAGCCAUCAGUACCUCAGGAGUUAAUUAACUACCUGAGUGACUAUUUACCAGACAAAUCUGUCUAGUUGCGGCUUGUAAUAACAAGUCUGCAGUUCCAAACUUUCCAGAGCGUAACAUCAAUACAACUCAGAGAGGUUGUAAAGAUAGGCUCUAGUCGUUGAAACCCUAAAGAGACUACUCGCCCAGUAGUCUACUAUCCAGAUAGCUCAAGUACUCGUGCUCCACAAAAGGAUACGCAUCCUAAGUACUCUACAAUGUGCAUCUGAUGAGGCUCACAAAAGAAGCCUUGUGUGCAGACACUCACAUUAAUCAUACGAGCAACGAUCAGGAUUAAUUGUGAGAGGCACUAAAAAACAAGUCGCAAAGCAAGAAAAUAAUUGCAUAAAGACUUCAAUAUAUUACAAGCAUUGACAAUUGUUCUUUAUACAAAUACUAAUGUUUGUUCAUCUCCAGAUCUACUCAAGGUCUAGCUGCUUGGCUACUUCUUCAAUGGUGGGAUCCAUCUCCUGCAUAAUCUCAUUGAAUUGCUCGUCCGAGCAGUCUGACACCAUCCCUUCAACAAUGGGUUAUAAAUUUACCCAAGAAUAGAAAGACUUCACAAAGCUCAAGACCUGCUGGGAGAUAGACUUCACCAUCUUUUAAAUAUAGCCAGAAAUCUUCUUUGGCGCAUCCUUGAGUAUCUCUGACAGCGGAGAAGGCUCUACACCUUUAGCUGGGGGCUCUAUCAUAUCCGCAAUUGGCUGGGGGCCUUACAAAUCUUAUUCAGGAUGAAUGUGGCAGUUUUCUCCUUAGCCUCACAAUCUUUGAUGGUCUCCAUGGCAGUAACAAGAUUUGCCUCGCCAUCCUCGCGCAUCUUCUUCUCCUUCUCUAGGUUAUGCUCCAACUUCUCAACUUGCAAGACAAGUUUGUCAUGCUGGUCAGUCACAUGAUAGAACACAUUGGUCCAAUCUGUGGCUUUCUCCUGAAGUUCUUUAUUCGACUUCUCAAGCUCUGCACAUUAAGGCAGCAGAGGGUCAGUACCACAAGCAGAAUCAGUAUUCAGAAAGCAGCAAGAAUAACAAUUACCUUUAAUUCGCUAGUUCAAGGACUUGUUGCGUUCGCGGAGUCGGUCUUUCUCUUCUUCAAGUUGUAAGAUGCGAUUCUGAUAUUCAGUGGCAGCUCCGUCAUACUUCAUCAUUAAUUAAGAACAAUGCUCCCUAAGUUCUUUUUCAAGGGCCUCAUAAUGAAAUACCGUGUCCCCAUAUCCUUCAAGCAUUUGGGAUUUGCGAUGGGAGUGCUUGAUGACAUCCUGCAACACGCACAAUAGGUACUCGUAUUUAAUACACGAGUACAAGUUACAAGGCAACUAUCAACACAUCAAGUUAGAAAGAAGAUACCUCUGCAUAAUUGCCGAUACGGCGGUGCAUCUCCAUCAUUCUAGUGACCAGGACGUGGAUAGCAACAUCAAGCUUUGGAAGCUUUGGAAGCUACUACCCGGAUAGAGAAAUCUUCAUCAUCACAUCACCAAGCAACGACACGGGUGCCAACCACCAAAAAACUCCUCGACGGGUUGGACAACUUGAUGACAUCUCACAAGAUGAAUCGUCAGCUAACGCCCCACAAGAAGAAACCUCUGAACAAAGAAAUCAAAGAAAGGCACGCAAUGCUGCCCGAGCAGAUUGUCGCCGACUACUAGCCACAAACAUUCCUAUCAUAAACCUCGAAAGAGCAUUCGAUGCAGUGCAAGCUCGAGAACACAACACUCCACUCGCGGCAAUUGCCUCGAUCAACCUCAUAUCAACUCUCAUACCUCAUGACAGAGAUAACGAGUUAACAGCACAACUCACGGAAAGGGGCAAUGAGUUAAUAGCACAACUCGUACAACAAGCUUAAAAACUACUUGACAAGAAGUCACUGAUUCCAUCUAUUCCUCGCAACUCGACCCACCAAGAUGGCAGCAGAGACGUCGCAGUCUACGAUGGCAAUCGCGAGGCUCCAAGAAAUAGCAAAGAAGUUGUCAACCAGCCAAGGCAACAUAGCCAAAGGCAAAAUAGAGAUGAACGCGAAGCCCCAAGGUGAAACAGGGACGCAGGGGAGGCUAGCUACACCAAUUCUGCAAAGAGCCCUCGCCACCGCAGAGCUGAUUGCGAAGCCUCAAUUUUCAGCGACCUAAGAGAGGUAAUCAAUAACAACCAUCGACGUGAACGCGAACACGAAGCUGAUGACUAUGAUCACUUUCCCACCUUCACCGCAUGGGUAAUGAAGACUAAACUACCCGAGAAGUUCAAACCGACAGGGAUCACCAAGUACGAUGGCAAGCAAGAUCAAGUCCAAUGGCUAUGAUGCUACUCACUAGCAGUUCAAGCAGUUGGGGGUAAUGGUGAUACAGAGGUCAUUCACUUCCCCAUAUGCAUGGAACCCGCACCGUUGACAUGACUCGAGUCACUCAAACCAAAAUCAAUCGAUUCCUGGGAAGACUUGACGAAGGCUUUCACUAAUAAUUAAGGCUCCAUGUCUCGCCCAAGCAACAAAAUUGACCUGAGCCAAGUCAAACAGAAAGAAAGCGAAAAACUUCACAACUACCUAUGCCGUUUCUUUGAAAAGAAGGCUACAAUAGUCGACAUUUUAGAAGCAGACGUGAUCAAGGACUUUCAAAAUGGUCUCUAUGAUCGUCGAACAUACCAAGACUUUGGCAGACGUCGUCCAGCCACCGUCAAAGAUCUCAAAAUCAUGGUGAAUAAUGGGUAGAUGAAGAAGACAAAGAGCGUGAGAGAUUCAGCUCUCAUCGCAACCGCGGUCGCGACAACAAUAACAACAAUCAUGAAUAAGACAGAAACCGCAACAAUGAUACUCGAAACAACUACUAAGGUAAUCAGAACCGCAAGCGCAAGCUUGACAACACUGUCGCGGCUAUGUCCAACUUAGGCAAGAAAGGGUCACACAAACGCAAUGACGGGCCCUCCUUCACCGAAUUACUCAAAAAACAAUGCCCAUGGCAUCCAAAUAGCAAACACUCGGCGAUUGAUUGCUACAGCAUGCGCCGAGUAAUGCAAGAAUUACCCGCACGACCACCUCCCAAAGACAUUGGUCAGAAGAGGGACAAAGGUAAAUGCAAGAUUGACAAAACUGACGGAGGUGAAGGCAAGUUCCAAACUGCCUCUAAGACGAUCAACGUCAUCUUUGGUGGAAUCUCGGGUACCGCGUCCAAGCGGUCCAAUAAGCUAGUACUUAGAGAGAUUAUGGCUAUCGAGCUAGCAGCUCCUACACCACUCAAAUGGUUUGAGGUACCCAUAACUUUCAGCAGAAAGGAUGAAUGAACAAGUUUUUCGGAACUAGGCCGAUUCCCUCUAGUACUCGACCCUAUCAUUGCAGGCUCAAGACUUACCAAAGUACUCAGCGAUGGCAGAAGCGGACUCAACAUCAUUUUUGCCAAGACACUAAGGAAAAUGUGCCUUGACAUCACAGACAUGGUUACUCCAACGGACUCACCAUUUUACGGAAUUGUCCCAGGAAAUGCUGCCAUACCUUUAGGAUAACUUAUCCUACCAGUCACUUUCGGCACCAAGGAACAUUACCGAACCGAGUACAUCAGGUUUGAGGUUGCCGACUUCGAAACUUCUUACCACGCCAUAAUCGGAAGACCAACCCUGGCCUAGUUUAUGGCCAUAUCACACUACGUGUACCUGUUACUCAAGAUGCUAGGACCUAAAGGCGAGUUGACACUACGUGGAGACUUAAGGCGAUCAUACGAGUGCGACACGGAAGCUAUCAAAAUCGCAGCGAUUUCUCAAGCACCUAAUCCCAUGCAACAAGUCUUCACAGAAUCAAAGAAACUCGGCCCCACAAAACUCGAGACCCUAGAAAACAAGUCGGGAUCGACUAAGGUGAAACCAGCAAGCGAGAAGGACUUCAAAACCAUCGAUCUCCGGACUGGUGACUCAUCCAAGACAACCCUGAUUGGAACUGGGCUAGACCCUAAAUAGGAAAGCGCGCUCAUCAGCUUUCUUUGGGCUAACCCCGACAUCUUCGCUUGGAAGCUAGCUGACAUGUCCGGUGUGUCCAAGGAGCUGAUUGAGCAUUCAUUAAAUAUCGACCCCAAAGCUACCCAAAAAGACAAUGACUAUGAAGGUUUGCCCAAGAUAGAAGAGAUGCAAUAAAAAAAAGAGCUAGCCAAACUACUUGCGGCAGGGUUUAUGAUGGAGGUUUUCCACCCUGAUUGGCUAGCCAACCCUAUACUUGUUCGAAAGAAGAACAAUGAGUGGAGGAUGCACGUCGACUACAGACCUCAACAAGCACUGCCCAAAGGACCCCUUUGGACUACCCAGGAUCGACCAAGUAGUCGACUCCACAGCUGGGUGUGCUCUGCUCUGCUUUCUCGACUGCUACUCAGGCUAUCAUCAAAUGGCUCUCAAAGAAGAAGAUCAAGCCAAAACAGCUUUCAUCACUCCGUUUGGAGCAUUUUAUUACAAAAUAAUAUCUUUCGGGCUAAAAAACGCAGGUGCAACCUAUCAAUGUGCCAUCCAGAUGUGUUUCAAGAAGCAACUACACCGCAACGUAGAAGCUUAUGUAGGUGACGUAGUCGUCAAAACAAGAAAUCCAAAUGAUCUAGUCGCAGACUUAGAAGAAACAUUUGUAAGCCUACGAGCGUUCCGGUGAAUACUCAAUCCUACAAAAUGCGUUUUUGGUGUACCCUCAGGAAAACUACUCGGGUUCAUCAUUAGCCACCAUGACAUUGAGGCCAACCCGAAGAAAAUCUCUGCCAUCACAAAUAUGCAAGCUCCAGCCUACAUCAAGGACGUGCAGAAGCUUACAUGCUGCAUGACAGCCCUCAAUCGAUUCAUCUCAAGACUUGGAGAACGCGGAUUAACCUUCUUCAAGUUACUCAAAUGACAAGAUAAGUUUCAAUGGACAGAGGAUGCAGACAAAGCCUUGACACAGCUCAAGGACUUCCUGUCAAAACCACCAAUGCUCACAGCUCCAUCUCCAAACGAGGACUUGCUCCUAUACAUAGCUGCUACUACUCAUGUUGUCAGCAUAGCAGUAGUAGUCGAAAGGUCUGAACCAGACCACGUCUACAAAGUCCAGAGACCCGUCUACUUCGUCAGCGAAGUACUUGGACUCCAAAACUCGGUACCCACCGGUGCAGAAGCUACUCUACGCAAUCCUACUUACCUCACGAAAACUGCGAUACUACUUUCAAGAACACAGCAUAUCUAUCAUCACUAACUUACCGCUCGGUGAAAUCCUUCAUAACAGGGAUGCAACGGGUAGAAUCUCCAAAUGGGCAGUAGAGCUCAGAGGUCUGUCUCUAGACUUCAAACCCAUAACAGCUAUCAAAUCCCAAGCUCUGGUCAACUUCAUGGCAGAGUAGAGGGAAAACCAAGUACCAACACCAGUCAAAAGGCCCGAGCAUUGGGUUAUGUACUUUGACGGUUCCCUCAAGCUUGAAGUCACCGGUGCAGGAGUACUCUUGAUUUCUCCAAAAGGGGAACAACUCAAAUACUUUCUCUAGAUCUUUUGGGAAGUCUCAAACAAUAAAACCGAGUAUGAAGCACUUCUACAUGGCCUUCGUCUCACAAUAUCACUCGGUAUCAAACGACUACUGGUAUAUGGUGACUCGCUAGUCGUCAUCAACCAAGUCAAUGAUGAGUGGGAUCGCAACAAGAAAAACAUGUACGCCUAUUGCAAGGAACCCCGCAAGCUAGAGAACAAGUUCUCAGGCCUUGAGUUUCACCAUGUCAUCUGCGACAACAAUGUAGCUGCUGAUGUGUUAUAAAAAAUGGGCUCAACUCAUGCGGAAGUUCCAGCAGGCAUUUUUGUACACAAGCUUUGCAAGCCUUCCAUACCAGAACAAGCCACUCCAACAACUACCAACACAAAAUGAAGGACCGAAAAGGUGACUAGAGGGGGGGGGGGGGGUGAAUGGGAGCCUUAAAUAUUUCUUUUAAAAUCUUAGGCUUCUGUCCCAAAUUCAGACCCCAAAACCGAAGCGAGCGGAAGACGAGAGAUCCACGAGCCAACUGGAUGGCUGGGUAUCUAUGGUGAUGAUCGAUAACACAGCGGGACUCUCAAGAAACAACUGGAAGUAAAACCCAAAGAUCCAGAAAGCAAACUUCAAAUAUCUGAGUCAAAAUAGGACUCAAAAUGCUCCUGUCGGAAGUUCCGACCCCCUAUCGGAAGUUCCGAUACCUAUCGGAAGUACUGGGAUCUCCCGACAGGAGUUCUCUGUCGUUUCAGCAAUUUUCCCUUCGGAACUUCCGACACAGUGUCGGAACUACGUCGGAACUUCCGACAACACAGAAAUCAACCUUCGUGAGAAGACAAUAAAAAUCCAAAACUUGAUCAAACGACCUCCAAAAAUCAUGAAAUUUUAUCCAUAGUUUUCCAACAACAUAAAAAACAUGUUCCCAAAAGAUCUCCUAAAAAAGAUCACCCAAUCAAAGGGAUUUAAAUAUCUUGUGAGGAAUGUCGGUUUUUUAACCCUAGAGCUUGAAUCGUCUCGAUCUAUGAACUCGUGAGGUUUCAGUCAAAUCCCUUUGGUGGAAAGGUUCAACUCAUGUCCUAGUUCAUUUCCAAAAGACCGGUUUGAGUCAAGAACUCCCAGAAAUCACGAAUCAACCAAAAGCGUGAGAGGGAGAAAAAGAGAAAACAAGAACCCGAAGAACAUAAGCGAGAAUUGCACAAAGCUGUCAUCCCCCAACAUAUGGAGGACACGAGGAGGUUAGGGCCUCCAUUCCAUCAAUAAAAACUCGGUUCAAUACAUUAAUUCCUUGCAUCACCAUGAACUCCUUGAUUCUCGAUGAUACCCACCGCACAAAAGAUCACCUUAAGUACUCCUUAGGCGGGUUGCCAAUCUAAAACACCAACAGACGUAGCCCUUGGAGUGGACAACUUCUCUACAAUUUGCUCCUGCGACGGAAGUACUGUUUGAGCCUGGAUUAUGCCUUAAGCUGAGUGGCUGCCGUCAUCAGUCAUAGGAUUGGAGUCAGACCUAGCCAAAUCUAUGUCUGAGGAUUUCCUGCAGAAGGGCACAUAUUUCUGUCACAAGAAACUUACUUACGAGUCAUAAUAAGUACUUGAAAGAGCAAUAGAGGAUAUCUUGAAGAUCUCCUUAGUUUCAAUUUGGGUUUCCCAUCAGGCACAAUGGCUUAAUGGCUGGAGAUGGUGCCUUUGACGUGGCCUGAGAAGUCGCAGCUUGAUCCUGGCUAGCCUUAGUUACCGCCCCUGCUGCUGACAUCAUCUCUACGCCAGCAGGGUUCACUGCAUAUCCAGAGGAGUUGUCAUUGCUAACAACAGACUCUGGAUCAUCUUCAACAUCGAUCAGCUCCUCGGUGAUCAGCGACUUGUCCUGAGCAGCCAAGGCAGUUGCCUUCUCAGUUUCUGUCGCCAGCUCGAGUAUCUGCAAACUACUAGUGUCAUCCUGAGUAGGCACGGUGUUGACAUUGGAGACACCUUUUUGGAGUAUGUGAUACUUAGGAUCUUGUCCUUCCUCUAGGUAAUUACCUUGGGGGGCACAUUAUCCGCAGCAAUGGAUUUCUUCAUGGCCUGUUUAGCAAUAAUAGUCUGUUUCUUCUUCAAUGGUGGAGGGAUCGUGGCUUCAAGCUCAGCUUCUUCAACCCAGAGGAUGGUCCGACCUUAGCAGACGGUUGGACCUUGACUUCGUAUCGAUCUGUGGCAUCAGAACUAGUGCUGCUGGAGGCACUAGUAGAGAACUGACUUUCGAUCCGCCCCCUUUUAUCCCGGUUUAAAAGUGGCCCGGGACAAAAGGGGGUGCGCCGGGGUGUGGAAAUUUGGAGGGGAGCAUUAGUCCCGGUUGGUAAUUGCAACCGGGACUAAAGGCCCCCCUUUAGUCCCGGUUGCAACGGCUAGCUGGGGGGCGUCGGUGGCGGGACCCUUUUAUCCCGGUUGGAUCCUCCAACCGGGAUAAACUUCCAACCGGGACAAAAGGUGUUUCCUUUUGUCUCGGUUGGAGUUUUUAACCGGGAUAAAAACUCAUCCCCCACUAUAUCCCGAGACAGAGAGUUUCUUCUUCCUCCAGCCCGAGCAGUCCAGCACAUUGAUAGAGAGCUGAGCUUCACCUACUCUCCGGUGGUGCCCAAGCAAGGGAGGUGCUGCCCGAAGUUUUUUCCCUCAUUUUCGUGGGAAUUUGACUCAGCCAACAAGUGCUGCGAAGGUUUGCUACUUCAUCCUUGUGUUAUGCUUUGAUUUAUGCUUUGGAGAUGGAAAGAUUAUUUGCUACAAUGUGAUGAUGAAGUAGAAAAAUGGAGAGGUAUUUUGAGCUAGAAUGUGAGGGAGAUUGAUGUGUCAUAUAUAGUAUGCAUUAUUUCAGUGGUUUAAAAAUGAUGCUACCUUGUCUAGACGGUUUAUCUUAUCAAAUUCAAUAUGGUUUUUUAAAUCCAUAUACUUGUUGAACUUGCAUACCGUGUUCAUUUCUGCGACGAUGUUCUCCGCCGAGUAGCAACGUAUGUCAAGAAGGAGGUUCGAUUCUACGAGAAAGAGUGGAUACGGACAUCGUGACCGUGUCCCCUUUUCCGUAGCAUCUAACCUCUUUCAUGACGAAGUGCGGUGCCGCCCAGCUGAGGACAUCCUCGCGAAAUGAACACGGUCUUCAAGUUCAACAACUUCUGUAGUGGUAAGGAAAGAAUUUUUGUACAUAGAUGACUUCUGCUACUUGUUGAACUUGCAUACCGUGUUCAUCUCUCCGAGGAUUUUUUCCGCCGAGCAGCAACGUAUGUCAAGAAGGAGGUUCGAUUCUACGAGAAAGAGUGGAUACGGACAUCGUGACCGUGUCCCCUUUUCCGUAGCAUCUAACCCUCUUUCAUGACGAAUACCGGUGCCGCCCAGUUGAGGACAUCCUCGCGAGAUGAUCACGGUCUUCAAGUUGAACAACUUAUGCAGUGUUUGGGACUUUAAUUUAAAUAUGUGUAUUUGGAUCUUCAUGUUGUUUUAUUGUACCAUGUUGUUUGGAUCUUUAAUCGAUUUUCACGCGUAAUCCAUUGUCAAGUGUAAUCCAUUUUCAUGCGUAAUACGAUGCAGAUGGACCGGCAAUGGAUGUAUAAUGCAGAUAGGCGGAGCAAGGUGUUUAUUGAUGGCUUGCAUUAUUUUCUCGAAGUGGCAAAAGCGAACAAGCCAGAGAAUGGGUUCGUAUGUUGUCCAUGCUUCCAAUGCAAUAACAGGAAGGAGUAUUCAAAGGAUUCCUGGGGGACUAUUCACAGCCACUUGUUUAAAUACGGUUUCAUGCCUAACUAUUUGAUUUGGACCAAGCACGGUGAACUAGGGGUUGUAACGGAAGAUGGUGAGGAGGAGGAGGAAGAUGACACCAUUCCGGACUGGGUUGCAGGCCAAGCUUUUGCAGGUACUACAAUGGGCGAGGCUGAUGAAGAUGAGUUUGCAGAAAAUGACCCUACUGAUGACCUUGGUCAGGUGAUACGAGAUGCAUACAGAGAUUGCGAAACUGAGAAGGAAGCAGCAAAGUUGCAGCGCAUGAUAGAUGAUCACCAAAAAUUGUUGUACCCAGGUUGCCAGCAGGGCCAUAAAAAACUAGGUACGACACUAGAAUUUGUGCAAUGGAAGGCAAAAAAUGGUGUGUCCGAUAAGGCAUUUCGGGGGAUGUUGAACAUUGUCAAGAAGAUUCUCCCCGAGAAUAAUGAAUUACCGUCCACAACAUAUGAAGCUAAACAGAUUAUUUGCCCUCUCGGAUUGGAUGUUCAGAAGAUACACGCAUGCCCUAAUGACUGUAUCCUCUAUCGUGGUGAUGAAUACGAGAAAUUGGAUGCUUGUCCCGUCUGCGAAGCCCUACGGUAUAAGAUCAGGCGAGAUGAUCCUGGUGAUGUCGAGGGGCAGUCUCCCAAGAAGAGAGUUCCCGCGAAGGUGAUGUGGUAUUUCCCUAUAAUACCACGCUUGAAGCGCUUGUUCAGGAACAAGGCGAAUGCUAAGUUGAUGCGAUGGCACAAAGAAGACCGUAAGGAAGAUGAGAUGCUGAGACACCCCGCAGAUGGGGCACAGUGGAGAUCAAUUGAUAGAACAUUCCCAGACUUUGAAAGUGAAGCAAGGAACAUAAGGUUUGGUUUAAGCGCACUGAUGGAUUCAAUCCAUUCGGUGAAUUGAGUAGUGGUCAUAGUACUUGGCCUGUGACCCUUUGUAUGUUCAACCUUCCUCCUUGGCUGUGCAUGAAGCGGAAGUUCAUUAUGAUGCCGGCGCUUAUCCAAGGCCCAAAACAACCCGGCAACGACAUUGACGUGUACCUAAGGCCGUUGGUUGAUGACCUUUUACAGCUCUGGAAGGAAGAAGGUGUACGUGUGUGGGAUGAGGAUAGACAAGAGAUCUUUAAUCUACGAGCACUGUUGUUCGUAACCAUCAACGAUUGGCCUGCAUUGAGUAACCUUUCAGGACAGACAAAUAAGGGAUAUCGGGCAUGCACCCACUGUUUAGACGACACAGACAGCAUGUACUUGAAGCACUGUAAGAAGGUCGUCUAUAUGGGUCAUCGUCGAUUUCUCCCUGCUCACCACCAGCUGAGAAAGAGCGGGAUGCAUUUCAAAGGGACGCCAGACCAUCGUAAAAAACCUGCACACCGUAAUGGAAAGCGUGUGUUCAAGAUGAUGAAGGAUGUAUAUGUAGUCUUCGGAAAGGGACUUGGUAGCCAACCUGUUCCGAAUGACGAUAACGGACAUGCACCCAUGUGGAAGAAAAAGUCAAUAUUUUGGGAGCUACCUUAUUGGGAAAUCCUAGAGGUUCGCAACGCAAUAGACGUUAUGCACCUGACGAAGAAUCUUUGCGUGAACGUGCUAGGCUUCAUGGGUGUUUAUGGAACCUCAAAAGAUACAUUGGAAGCACGACAGGACCUGAAAGCCAUGGGGCAACGAGAUGACCUACAUCCGGAAAAGAGAGAUAAUGGACAGCACUACUUACGUCCUGCCAGUUACACUCUCAGCAAGGAGGAGAAGGAUAGCAUGUUUGAAUACUUGAAUAGUAUGAAGGUCCCGUCUGGGUACUCCUCGAAUAUAAAGGGAAUAAUAAAUAUGAAACAAAAGAAGUUUACAAAUCUCAAGGCUCAUGACUGUCACAUGUUGAUGACCCAGUUGCUUCCGGUUGCACUGAGGGGUGUUCUACCAGAAAAUGUCCGGUUGCCGCUCGUAAAGCUAUGCGCGUUUCUCAAUGCAAUUUCGCAGAAGGCAAUCGAUCCAUCCAAGCUAUCAAAGCUACAGAACGAUGUGGUGCAAUGUCUUGUCAGUUUUGAGUUGUUAUUUCUACCAUCCUUCUUCAAUAUUAUGACGCACUUACUGGUUCACCUAGUAAAAGAGAUUGGUAUUCUCGGACCUGUAUACCUGCACAAUAUGUGGCCUUUCGAGAGGUUCAUGGCAGUCCUAAAAAACUAUGUUCGUAAUCGUGCCCGUCCAGAAGGAAGCAUCGCCAGGGGAUAUGGAACAGAGGAGGUGAUCGAGUUUUGUGUUGAUUUUAUUGAUUCAAUUGACUCGAUUGGGGUUCCAACUUCACGCCACGAGGGGAGGCUCCGAGGAAUGGGCACCCUUGGAAGGAAAUCAAGUUUGAGCAAUGAUACUGAUUUGUUCGACAAGGCACUCUACACUGUUCUACAACAGUCAUCCUUUGUGUCUCCGUAUAUCGAGCAGCACAGGCAGAUGGUAGCUUCCAAAAACCCGACCAAAUCCGAUGCUUGGCUUACCCGUCAUCACAUGGAAACUUUUCCCUCCUGGUUGCGCCAACAACUUAUGGGUAACUCUGAGAUUCACCCACAGCUUGCCUGGUUAGCCAGGGGACCUGCUACCACAAUCGUCAAAUUCCAAGGCUAUGAGAUAAAUGGUUACACAUUUUACACGAGAGGCCAGGACCAGAAAAGCACGAACCAGAAUAGUGGUGUCCGCAUAGAUGCCAUGGACAGAAAUAAUAGCAAGGAGUCGUAUUAUGGUUUCAUACAGGAGAUAUGGGAACUCAAAUACGGACCGCUGUACAUCCCUCUAUUUCUUUGCAAUUGGGUGAAGCUAACUGCCGUCACCAAAGAUCAGUACGGAAUGACAAUAGUAGAUCUGAGCAAGACUGGAUACAGUGAUGACCCAUUCGUACUUGCCAAUGAUGUGCAUCAGGUGUUCUAUGUGAAGGACAUGUGCAGCAAACCCAAGAGGAAUCCAGAAGAGACAUGGGAGCCAAAGUGCCACAUAGUUCUUCUAGGUAAAAGAAAAAUCGUGGGAGUCGAGGAUAAAACAGACCAAUCAGAUGAUUAUGAUCAGUUUGAUGGCAUGCCUCCAUUCGCCGUUGAAGUUGAUCCAAGCAUCCUGCUAUCCAAAGAAGAGGCUCCGUACUUACGCCGCGAUCAUGAUCAGGGAACUUUCGUGAAGAUGAAAUUUUACAACGUUGUAUUGUAAUGCGUUAAAUGUACAUGACCUUUGUGUAUUAAUUGAUACAAUUUGUAAUUUACCCUAUGUAUGAUUUCAUGUGUUAUUAAAUUUGUUAGGUGAAGAUUUUUUAGAUAUACAUGAACAUUGUUAACCACAUACUAACAUGGAUUUUUCUGCGCAUUCAAAUAAUUUAAUUGAAUAAUUUAUUGAUCACAGCAAUGCAGUAAAAUAAAUAUUUUACAGGCUACAUGAGUUGGUAUAGAAAUAAUGAUUACUUCAUACUUAUUGUCAAUUUACUCGUUAAUUAAAGAUAUUUUUGCAUGUACAAAAUCUGUGAAGGUUUUGUUUUUCAUCCUGAAAUGCAGUGAAAAGGUAAAAUAAAAUCCAUUUCCAAAAAACAGGCGGGAGAAGAAAAAUAGGAAAAAAGACCUUUUGUCCCGGGUGCUAACAGCAACCGGGACAAAAGGCCCCCCUUUAUCCCGGUUGCCGGAUAAAAGGGUACGUUUCGUCUCCUGCCCGAACGUACCCUUUUAUCCCGGUUGCCCCCCCUUUUAUCCCGGUUGGUGACGGGAACCGGGACAAAAGGCUCUUUUGUCCCGGGUCCCAUUACGAACCGGGAUAAAGGGGGGGGGUUAAAAGGCACUGUACUCCCUUCUACCCCCCGCCAGUUCCACACUUAGCGAAAAUUUCGCAAGUCCCGCGCUCUCCGCCGUCGCCGCCCGUCCGCCUCCCUCGCCGGCCGCCGCCGCCGUCGUCCCCCAUUGUGCCGUCGACGUCCCGCAUUGCGCCGUCGUCGUCCCCCGGCCGGCCCUCCUCGAUCCCCUCCUCGUCCGUCGACGGGCCCAGCCCCCGGCCACCUUGUCGCCGGCUGCAUCCUCGUCGCCCCUCGUCGCCGGCUCCAUCCUCGUCGCCCCUCGUCGCCCCUCGUCGCCGACCCUUGUAGCCGCCGUCGUCGUCUUCGCCUCGGCCGCCGUCGUCCCGCCGUCGUCGUCUUCGUCCUCGUCGCCGCCCCGGCCGCCGCUGUCCCGCGCGCCGCCCGGCCGCCGCCGUCCCGCCGUCCCGCCGCCCCGGCCGCCGCCGUCCCGCCGACCCGGCCGCCACCCCGCGCGCGAGAGGUCUGCCGUGCCGGCCGGCAGCGCCGGGAGAGGGUUUUCUUUUAAUUUUGUUUUAUUUUUAGAUAGAAUUGUAAUUUUGUUAAGUUAGAUUUUUAGAUUUCUAAUUUUGUUAAGUUAGAUUUUUAGAUUUCUAGUUAGUUUGUUAAGUUAGAUUUCUAGUUAGCUUGUUAAGUUAGAGUUGAUACAGAGAUCGCCGAGUAGCCGUCGUGAUCGCCGCCGUCCCGCCGAGUAGCCACCGUGAUCGCAGCCGAGUAGCCGCCGUGAUCGCCGCCGUCCCGCCGCCCAUCACAACCUAGUAGGCAACCUAGUAGGCACCGCCCGUGGUUUCGGUGAACCGCCUCCGCCGUACCGCCGCCCUGACCGCCGCCGUCCCGCCUCCGCCGCCCUUAUCGCCGCCGUAGAAAUUCGUCAAAAUUCGUAGAAAUUCGUCAAAAUUCGUAGAAAUUCGUAGAAAUUUGUAGAAAUUCAUAGAAAUUCGUAAAAAUUUGUAGAAAUUCAUAGAAAAUUCGUAGAAAUUCGUCAAAAUUCGUAGAAAUUCGUCAAAAUUCAUAGAAAUUUGUAGAAAUUCGUAGAAAUUCGUAGAAAUUCAUAGAAAUUUGUAGAAAUUUGUCAAAAUUCAUAGAAAAUUGUAUAAAUUCAUAGAAAUUUGUAGAAAUUCAUAGAAAUUCAUAGAAAUUCAUAGAAAUUCAUAGAAAUUCAUAGAAAUUCGUCGAAAUUCAUAGAAAUUUGUAGAAGUUUGUCAAAAUUCAUAGAAAAUUGUAUAAAUUCAUAGAAAUUCAUAGAAAUUUGUAGAAAUUCAUAGAAAUUCAUAGAAAUUCAUAGAAAUUUGUAGAAAUUCAUAGAAAUUUGUAUAAAUAUUCCGGACUUUGUACGAUUCAUGUUAUUUUAUGAUUUCAUUAUAUACAUGUAUGAUUCCGGACUUUGUAGGACUUUGUACAAAUUUGUAUUAAGACGAUUUCUAUGACUGUCAUGUAUGAUUCCAUGUAUGUUUCCAUCAAUAGUUGAAAUGGCAGACGAUGAGACCGCAAGGUAUAUCAUGGAGCAGAUAAUCGCUGGUGAUGGUAGUGGCGACAACGUUCCACUAUCAUACACGGAUGAAGAGGGCACCCAGGCGGACAUGUUCCUCAACAUGUCCGCCGAUGGGAAUGAAGAGCAACAGCCGCAGCAACAACUUGCCGUGGCGGAAGGUUCCGGCGAGGUAUAUACAACCAUUCUUGUAUUGUUUCACGCCACCGCUACUACUACGUACUAAUUAACGAAUCUUGAACUGUUAGCCCUCCGGAUCGACACAAGGGCAGAAGACCCGAGGUCGUACAAAGGUGAUGGAAGGGAGGCUUGUCAUCACCGAAGUUACAGAAGAGGGCAGGCCGGUUGCCCCCGAGAAAGUAGCAAAGAAGUACGUUAGUCAAAUCGGGGCAAUCGUCCGGGACAACGUGCCUAUCAGCAUCAGAGAAUGGAAGGGCAGAAGCGAUAAUCCGUACGCCCUUCCAGAGACAGAAAAGAAUAUGCUGUGGGAAGACGUGAAGAGAUAUUUCACAUUCCCCGAAGGAUAUAGCGAGAAGGAUGUCAAAGCGUGGACGCUUAAGAAGAUGGCUACUCAAUUCCAGACAUUCAAGAAGAUGCUGGACACCCACUACAUCAAGAAGGGCAAAACUCCAGACUUCAACGCAUGGCCAAAGUUGAGGGACCACUGGGAUGCAUUUGUUGAAUACAAGAGGAGUGAAGAAGGUGUGAAAAAGAUCACGACCAACGUUGCAAAUGCUAGUCAGAAGGGCUACCACCAUCAUUUGGGGCGAGGUGGGUAUGGCUCAGCAAUUCCCAAGUGGAGGAAGAUGGAACAAGAUCUGAUCGAACGGGGAAUCAUACCUGCAACUAUUGAAUGGCCCGAACGAUCAAAGAACUGGUACUACGCUCAUGGAGGCUCCCUAAGCCAAGAGGAUGGGACACUGAUUUUCAAUGACACAAUACGUGAGAAGGCCGAACAUCUCAUGAAGAACAUUGAAGAUUCCAAGGCUGGGAGGUUGAGGGUGGACCGAGAAAAUGAUGAGCUCACAUUGGCCCUCGGUAAUCCAGAGCACCCAGGACGUUGCCGGGGGUUCGGGGUUGUUCCGUGGAAGUUCGCUUUCCGAGAUGCCAGCGCCUCUUACAGAAGCCGGAAGCGAAGAAAGGAACAGAUGGAGGAGAGCUGGCGGCAGAUGCUAGAACAAAGAAUGAUGGAUGAAAUCAAUCGGCGGGUGGCCGACGCAGUUGCGGAGUUGGCGCAAUCUGGAGCAAUGCCGAAUCCUCACACCGCCAGCCCUUCUCAACGCCUCGGGAGCAGUUGUGCUUCUACAGGGGUCCCCGAUGCGCAGACGCCCAGGUUACCCGUGGAGGAGCAACGGUUCCCCGUGGAUGCCAUCACGCAACGGACCUCAUGUGAGCUGCAUGCACCGGUCGGCAACCUCACUAUUAAGGUAUACUUAUACAUAAUAUUUAUGCAAUCUUGUCAAUUGAUCCAGGCCUCGAGAUCGGAGUUCAACUUGUUUACUUCUGCUAUAUGUACAGGUAGCGUACGGGAGUGCGUUACCAACGCUGGCAGGGCAGAGCAGUCAUGGCAUGGACAUUCCAACAGGCUACGCCAGCGUCUGCGUCGAGCAAAUAGUAGAUGCCCAGUAUGAAGCCCUAGAGCUCGACUUCCCGGGAGUCGACGGGGAAAAGACAUUGGCCGAUGCGCUUCAUGGGAUCAUUCUAUGGAAGAAACGCUACAUCAUUUUUCCCCGCACGGAGCCAUCUCCUCAGACCUCAAGACCGCUCCCCGUAGAUCCCAAGCAGCGACCUUCUCCUCAUACCUCGAGACCGGCAUCUCCUGCUCCAGGACCGUCUCUUCCAUCUAUAUCAAGGUCUCCAUCUCCACCACAUCCUGGUGCUGGGAGCGACGACGACAAUAACAACACCCCUCCCCGAUCACCGUCGCCGGCACCAAGAGCGGCCCCCUCGAAGGAACCUGCAGCACCACUCAAGAAGUCACGAGCACCGCCUCCCAAGCAAAGACAGCAGAGAAAGAAGAAAACAAAGGUCGACCCUGAAGUGGCUCGCAAGGAACGCUUUGAGGCAAUGUCUCAUGCGGAACAGUGGGCAGAAAUCCAACGAGAGGCCAGUGAGUGGUUCAAGAAACAAGUCGAAUUAAAAAAGGCAAGGGAGAUGCAGCCACCGCCAGUAAGUCGGCGAGAUUUAAACUUUUUUAUCAGGAUGGAGGAAGGAGCCAAGAAAAGGAUACCACUCUUGUCAAACUAUGAACGGGCUCUAGUAAAGGCUGAUGAAAAGGAUAAAAGAAAAGGAAAAUCAUCCUCCAGCGGUCCAGUCCCCGACCUCAGCCAUUUAUCAAAAAAAGAUGCUCAACGGGUAAAAGCAAUGCCCUUGGAUCAACAAACAAAUAUAUUGAAGUUCAUGGAAGAAACAGGUCUGGGACUUGAUGAAUGCAUAGGGCAAGUCGAGACGCCAACUGCACCGCCCCCUGAGCCGAGAUGGCCUUAUGAGCUAGGCAAACCUCUAGUAAAGCCUUCAAUGCUACGGAAGCUAUCAACAAAGAUGUACGAAUUCCAUCAAUGGUACAUGAUGGCAUCCGCCAACUCGAGGGAGAUGAUCGGCAUGAAGGUAAAACCGAUAGAUUUUCACGGUGAAGGGGAGAAAGUGCUGUGGCUAGACUUCAAGGAUAUAUAUGAAGUGUACCAUCAUGAUGCCCUGGACGUCUCUCUGAUCAGCGCUUGGAUUCUGUAAGUGUCCGUUUAUUAUCUCUACAUGUAAAUUUUGACGUGCGUCACCGUACUAACUUCAUCUUCCAUUUCAUGUAGGAUGCUAAUUCAGACAUGCCGCCGAGAGGCGUACCUACAUGUAGGCUUCAUGGAUCCAUCUGUAGUUAACCAACAACAGAUACAAUUAGUGCCGGAAAAAACCUUGGUGGAAGUAUACAAUUUCCUAGACAAACAAACAUUCAAGGAUUUCAUACUACUUCCAUACAACUUCAAGUAAGUGUGUGUAUACCGUCUACUUUCGAUGUCUUUUUCCUUAUCUCUACAUGUUAGUUAGCUCUAAUAUGCAUGAACAUUUUACGCACGCAGCUUCCACUGGAUACUUAUUAUAAUUGAGCCUGAAAGAAGCCACGUCACUGUCUUUGAUUCGUUAAGGAAAGAUCCGGUGGACUACCAAGAAUUGCAAGACAUGCUAGGCUUGUAAUAAUUCUGGACCUUUAUCUCUAUGCAAAAAUUUAUUUCCUAAAUUUUAUCCCUGUUACACUAUGUCAUUCAUUAUUCUAAUCCGCAGCGCAUGGAAACAAUUCAUAAGGACACACAAAGGUCCAUUCAAAGAAAAUCUUACAUGGAACACAGACUUCCCGGUACGUAUGAAGUCUGCACAUUUAUUACAUUGUAUAACACAAAUAGUUCAUAACUUAUUUUUUUCCGCACUGAAGUGCUUAAGACAGGAACCCGGGAAUAAUCUAUGUGGCUACUACAUCUGUGAGCACAUGCACAGUUUUUUGGGACCCAAGGGACCCAAAGUACGUAAAAUAAAUAUAUUACUAGUUAAUUAUUUUCUAGCUCCUUAUAUGUAUUUGUUCAUGUAACAUUCACAAAUUUCCAAAUUAUAGAUGUUAAAUAUUCAACAAGGACUCUUGAAGGAAGAAAGAGUAGCGGGAAUAUGUGAAGGUCUCAUUGGAUUCAUAAUGGACGAGGUGGUAAAUCCAAGAGGAGAAUUUUAUUACGAUGGACGACAAUUAGACACUCCGAUCAGCAACACCACGACGGGAAGAUCGUAGGAAGAUACUUUGAUUUAUUUGUAUAUAUAAUACGCGCUAAUUAUGAUCGAUUUGUACUAAGCUAUUUGAAUUGUGUAUAAGGAUUGUGUAUAUAUAUAGUAAUUGUAUAAUUGCAAAUCCCAUUCGUUUAAAUACUAGUUGAUUUCGUUCUAAAAAAAUCUCAACUACAAGGUUAACAAAUUAAAAGGGCCGCGGUACUACUAUACGUAUACGUGAUGCAUGCAUGAAAAAUUCAGGCGUCACGGCAGUGCCAUGCAAGCGCCAUUUAGUCCCGGUUGGAAUUGAGCCGGGACUAAAGGGGGUCCUUUACUCCCGGUUAAAAGACCCGGGACUAAAGACCCCCCCUUUUGUCCCGGUUGGUUUAUCCCGGAUGGAUAUCCGAGAGAUAUGCACCCUACCAACCGGGACUAAAGGUCAAUUCUCUACCAGUGAGGACUCGACUACCUCCUCCUCCUAGUCAUCGCCUCUCAUGACUUCCCGUGUAAACAAACGAGGGGCGGCUUCACAGACAUCUUCAGAUCCGGGAGGAGUAGGAGCGGAGAAGUACAAAGCAACAUCUUCCUGCAAAAUGAGACAAGUCAAUUGACUAGUAUAUUCAAAAUAAGUACUCGGGGGUGUAACAUCUGCAAAAUCACCAACCUAAAAUCACCCGUUAAAAAUUUCUUUUAAAAUCUUUUCACCGCUGAGCUCCCGGAAAUCUAAAAUCUCCCUGGCGAUUUCGCCGUCCCGACACCUAAGCCGACAGCCAUCAUCUUUACCUGUGCCCGUAUUUUCCGUCGCGUGCUAUCGUCAGACGCCGCGCGCGUGCUCCAACCGCGUGCCGCGAACGCCGCCGGUCCCCCUCUUUUUCUUUCUCGUUUUCCCCCUCCCCAUUUGUUUUUCUUUUUCCUUCUCCUUUCUUUUCCUUCUUUCUUCUUCCUCCUUCCCUCUUCUCUCUCCUCCUCUUCCUUCUUCCUGGCGCCCGCACACCCGGCCCCAACUCCUUUACUCCCCGGCGCCCACCCUUCCUGGCGCCAUACCGCCGGCCGACCCGGCCCCUCCGAGCGCUUGGGGCCCGCUCCGCCCAGCUCGGCGCCGGCCACGCCGGCGCCUCUCUCGGGCCGCGCGCCCGACUCGGCCCCCGGCCGCCUGCACCACCUGCUCCGGCGCCGGCCGCCCCAGCCCCGCACGCCGCCCCUCCUACGCCGGCCGCCUUGGCCCCGUACCACGCCGCCCGCCGCCGGCCCCUACCUCCUCGCCCCGGCACGCCACCGAUGCUGUGCCGCCAAGACCAUCCCGCCGGCCGCCCGGACCCCUACCGCCGGCACCAUCCUCGCCGGCCUAUAAAAGGCCUCGACGCCCGGCCUCCCUUGCCACUCCACCACCGUCCCAGCUCGCCACCCGACCUACACUACUCGCCAAGCGCCGCCGCCACCGGUACCUCCGCCGCCCGUGCGCCAACCGCCGCCGCCUCCACCGAACCACUGCCGGCCGCCCCUUCCCUAUCCGAAGCUCCAAGGUAUCGGUCAAAAUGGAGCCCCCACGGCCUCCUCUAGCCUCUCUUGCCGCCUCCCCUCGCUGCCGGCGAGCUUGGGCCGCCGCCCCUCCCUCCCAUCUCCUCUGUUCCGGUACAGAAAGAAAGGAAGAAGAAACCCCUCCUUUCCGAUCUAACCCCAAAGAAUCUACUAUUCGCGAAAUAGUCCUUCCACCACUCUCAUAAACCUAUUCGUGGAUAAGCCCCUCCACCUCCAAAAGUAUUCACAAAUAGGUCCUUGGUUUAUCGCAAAUCAGUCUUAAACCUCCUUUUUAAGCCCUUAAGCCAUGUUUAACUCGUCAUUUCAUGCGCCAAACUUCCUCCAAUUAAUCCCAAAGUUUACCACGUCAUCCUCCAAAAUACUUUCGCCGAUCCAUAUCCAAAUUUCCCAAAAAUAAUCUUUCUACCUAUUUUCCGUUCACAUUUUCUGUUCGGAGCUCACGGUUAAAAACCGAUUUUUCUUUUAUUUAUUUGUGUGCCCAUUUGUGUGUGCCGUAGAUCGCGGAUUACCCGAGGAGGAGCCCGAGGAGGAGUGUGACCGCGAGCUCGAGCCCGAGGACCAGCAGCACGAACCGGAACUCCCGGAAGGCUUUGAAGACGGCAAGUCUAAUCUCACCCUUUGAUGCAUACUUAAUACCUAGUUUUUCAAACACAAACUAUUGGCCUAUUUUAUAAAAUGCAUAUUAUUUUAUUUUAUUGCAAGACAUGGUUGGAUAGCCACCCCUUGAUUGUUAUGAACAUUCCUUGUUAUCCUAUGGUUGUCCCUAAAUAUGACCUGCUCUAUUUAGGCGAUAACCACCGCUAGAACGCUUAGGAAACUGCUACUUGAUUUUGAUCAUUAAUACAAUGGUUUGAUUGAAAGAUAAGAGAGUGUGUGUGUGUCCACUUGGGAAAAUGGCUUUCCGGGUUCAAAGGAAAAGGAUGUGUAGACAGGAUGGAUGGGUAUUUCUUGUGUGGACUGCCAGGGUGUUGUGCUCGUACCUUAGUGGUUGAGCGAGGUCGGGAGAUAUCCAUCCUGUCAUGGUUAAGGACCGAGUUGAUGUGUCAUCUUGCCUAAUUCCACCAUCGUGCAACCACUCGACCGUUGUAUGGGCAACGGCUUAGCAUAAAUCCCACUAGCUACACUGUUAGUCCUCAGGGGUGCUGGCGAGCAACGGGAACCCAUGGAAAAGGAGUAAGAUCUUGGUGACUUAGGUCCCGGUUACGGUCUCGUGGAUGAGUCGUGAACCCCUUGGGUGCUUCCGUGAGGACUAGCCAGUCUCAGCUAAGGUGGGUAAUGGCUUUGUUAGGAUCCGCACCGGCACUAAGGUGAUCGUACUGCAGUACCCUACUUGUGGGAAAAGUGUACAACCUCUGCAGAGUUAAAACCUAUCCGGGUAGCCGUGUCCACGGCAUUGGAUGAGUUACGGCUUGGUCACAUAACUAGCACUUGGGCAUGGUUGUCGCGUGUGUGUGUGUGCGUGUGUGUGUUGGAUUUUGGAAGUGUCCGGCAGUUGUGUCGUGUGCUAUGGCGGACGGGAAGUCCGAUAGCGAUAAAACUUGGAUACUUUGUGUAGGAUCAACCCCACUCAUUGUUUCGGUUACUAAAGAACAGCUUUAUGAAAACUCGUUGAAAAUAAGCCCAUGCGUGUGUUAAAAAUCUAGCUUUCCCGCAAUUGGACUCUAGCCUCUUCCUUGCUAUAUCCCCGUGCCAUAACUGCUUGUACCCCCCCCCCCCCCCCCCCGUGGAUGGGGUGUGGACUUGUUGAGUACGUUCAUACUCACCCUUGCUUCAUCACCGAGGACCUUGAGUAGAGGUUGUGUCUGCACCCAACGCUGCCUGUGGUGUUGGCCUUUCCAGGAUGCUGCUGCUGCCGUGUAGUCCCGAGUGCUGUCUUUUGGCAGUCGCUUGGUUAGCCGCUGUUGUGUAUUUAUUUCUUAUCGCUGCGUGGCUUUCACGCCCACUCCCUCGGGAGUUGUACGGUAACUGAACUAUCUGUCGAAUAAAUGUGUUAUCAGCCUCCUGGGACUGAUAUUUGUAUCACAUUUAGUCUCUACUUAUGUGGGGACGCUUCAGGGGGCCACGGUCAUGAGUACUUACAGGCUUUGGCAAGUGUGAGGCGCUGAAUUCCCGCAUAAUAGUGGGGAUCCCGCCUAGGUUCUUGAAUAUUCGCUUGAGCCUAACGAUAAUUUCAUUUGUGCUGAUUUCAUCAGGAGAGAAUCUGGAUGAUCAUUAAGGCCGGUAUACUCGUAGCCAUAAGGGCAUUGCUGUUGUAGAGGCUGGAUGUGGCGUUUCAUAAAGCUAAAGGCUACUCCAAUUCCAGCAAGCCCUUCCUAUUUCAACUGGGCAAUUCUACCAAUCAACUCGGGCAACUGCAGGCAAUCGCCAUGCUUUGGCUCAUCAAGCCACCUAUUAUUCCAAGAGGGACAAUGUCCUGAGAGUUUGGGUAGUUUUGGAUUAUAGUUGCCAAUAUAAUAUCAUUUUUCUUUCCACCCAGCAUUGGAGUCUAUCAGUUCAUAAUCCAAAUACUGGCUGCUUACUGUCUUCCGCAUCUGAAUUCCGAUGCCUCCAACGAACAACGUGUGUUCUCUUGAGGGUUGUGGCUUCACAUGGGAAAAACUUCUGGAAUAACUGAAAGUACGGCUUGAUAUCUAGAAAAGCUUCACAGAAGUGGAUGAAAAUAGCAGUAUGGAAAAUUUCAUUGCUAUUCAGAUGCACCAACUCUUACUUGUAGUAAUCAAGAAGACCCCGGGAGAAAUCACAGGUGGUCAAUCCAAGGCCUCACUCAAUGAAGUGCAGAAAGGUUACCAUCUCGUUUGGAUAUGAUUCCAGUGGGCAGGCAUUCCUGAAGGAGGAUCUCCACUAAAUAUAACACUGCUCUUGCAAUAGCUUUAUGGCGACAAGAGCUUUGAUGUCACCUUCGGCUGCUUUCGACUCUUUCCAGGCGCACACGGCAUUGGGUGGUACGGUCUAAUUGGUCUUGACAUACUUGGGCGCUAGCAACUGAGAAUCCUUCCCCUUGCCGGAUCUCCUUUUCUUUUUCUCAUCCUCGCGGGCUUGGAUGCAGCGAUCAUCCUCUCCAUCCUUGAUGUCACGAGCAUCUUUAGUCGCAUACGCUCGGGGGCUGCGUGGUGGGGGGCGGCGGCGCUAGUGUUCGAAGAUCGACCAGUGGCGGUGACGCUAGGGCUACAGUAUGGAGUUGGAAAGGCAAAUGGUAAGGGUAAAACAGAAGGGAUAACUGUGCAAGUGAAUGUAUUUCAAUUUAAAGGAUCCCUAGAAUUCAGGAAACCUGAUUGGUGGUUAUUUUUAUUUUGGAAAGAAGAUUUGGAUAUUCCAAGAGAUUGUCACGUUGACCAAAUUUAACCCUUAUACCUACCAAACUAGUUGGCUAAAGGCUCGGGGGUUGUGUGCCACGUGUCCAUCGACAAAAAGUUUUUUUCGGGUUUUAAGGGGAAAGUGAUGCAAAUUAUAGAUUGACCAUAAGCUUGAUUCUCCGAUUCAACCUAAGGCUCAGGGGCUACUCUAUAUGGAAUGCGACUUUCAUCGCACUUCCAUAUAAAAUUCAAGGUUGAAGCAUGCAAGACUAAGUUAAAUGAGGCUUGAGCACAUUCUAGUCGCAUGACAGCUUUUGGUACCUUUGAAGAUUGAACCAGAUGAAGUACUCGAAGAGCAUCAAAACAAGUUGGUGAAGUCUACAAAAGUACUCAGAACUGCUGCAUUUGACUAAAAAGUACUCGAGGGCUUGUCGUACAUACAUCUAUUGGCCCACCAGAAGGUUGGACAGACCCAAAUAUGAGGCUGGACACCGAAAUGCAUCUGACAUGGAGACCAUGGCGCAGGACAGCAUAAUCUACAAUGAAAGACAGAAACUAUUCAAGGAUUAGGAAAGCGUAGGCUUCUUCUAGUCGGAUAGUCGUAUCCGACUAGUAUUGUUGUAACCAACCGACCAGUAACCCUACCCCCGACUAUAUAAGGCGAGGCAGGGACCCCCUCCAAAGCAAUUCAAUCCAACCAACACACAUGACGUAGGAUAUUACGCAAUCUAGCGGCCUGAACCUGUCUAAAUCGUGUGUCUGCGUUUACCUUCGAGUUCCUGAUCUCGAUGAGGCCCACCAACCAAAACACUACCUUUGGCACCCCUUGGUAGGUUGCCGGAUCUAAACACUGACACCACUUUCACGCAAAUUUGCAUGUUGAACCCUCACGACAACGUACGUUUGUUAUAACUAACAUUGGAAUCUUUUAAAGAGUUAAAGACAUGAAUUUCACAUAAAUCAGUUCAAUUCAUAUUCAGAGUAAAAUUAAAACAUCCCACACUCCUACGGAGGCCUUAAUAAACAUUGUGGAAACGGGUUAAAAGGUGACACGGAAAAAUUGACGGGCCGGGCACACGACGCAUGUCACCACUAAUGAGACAAGUAGCGGACACCUAUAACGCCCGUCCAUGUCUAGCUAGAUCGGAGACUAACUAACACCAGUCACCUUUGACUUAUAAAAAGUGAUGCUCAUUUUCGAUAUACUUGCCUGUGUUUUUUUUACUUAGAUCAAUUAUUAGAUAUCACAAGCUUGCAGACACCGUUUGGCCACGACUGUUGCCAUCAACAGCUUACGAUUUUGGCGAUUUUCAACCGAAUUUCAUGGAUUUGAAGUCGGAUUCGUCCUUGGCCCUUAAAGGACGCAUCUCCCUCUUGAACAUCUUUUCCUCCUCUCCUCCCUUCUCAUCAUGGUCCUAUCUGAGACUUAGCAGAAGUUGGAUUUUUGCAUAUCUUAAAGUUGUAUGUACCUAGAGGAAGCUGUUGCUGUCCAGAGUACUUACCAAGUUGAAGUCUUUCAUGGAGGCCUUGUAGGCGGAUAUGAAAGCUCAUGGUAAAUUGACAAUGUAUUGUUCAUGCCCCGUUUACAUGAAUGAUAGAAAGUUCAUGCAAUUAGGCAAUGUCCACACACUUUUGGCCAUGCGUGGAUCUAAAGAAAAUCAUACAUGUUGGAGCAAGAACGACAACCAAGGGGUACGGGGACUGCUGCUUGGGUGGGGUUGGGGGGGGGGAAAACUGAAGAUAACCCUUUACAGAUGUCCUUGGGGAACCAGAAAAAGCAGACCAUGUUGGAGACUAAAAGAGAUUACAAAUUAACAAAAACUAUUUCUCUGGGUAGUGGCUUCAUCGUUAAAGCGUCUAACCUUUUGAAUGAUUUCGAGUGGGUUGAACUUCUCUGUGGUCGAUGCCUAUCACCUCUUGGGUCAUACCCUUCUCAGGGUUCACUUGUUCCGGCUGAUGGCCGUCUACGACUCUUUCAAGUGCUACACAUCUACAGAACUUCCUGUUAUGGGGCCUCAUGAUGUGUUUAGGUAACUUUCUGCACUGCUUCUUAGAUUUGAGAUACAUGUUUGACUUUCACUCAAAAAUCACAACUCUGAUUAUGGUGUCCAAAGGAAAAUACUGANNNNNNNNNNNNNNNNNNNNNNNNNNNNNNNNNNNNNNNNNNNNNNNNNNNNNNNNNNNNNNNNNNNNNNNNNNNNNNNNNNNNNNNNNNNNNNNNNNNNCCAGGGGUUUGUACGAGAUUGGAAGAAACCCUAUUAUCCUAAUUGUAAGAAGUACACACACCUAAUUGGGGACCUAAAGCUUUUGCAACAAAAGACAAUUCUUGUCUGGACGAAUAAUAAGAGUUCCAAAGCACUAGGGCACAGGGGUGGAUCUAGGAUCCGGACUGGGGGCUGUAGCUCGGGACCAGCCCAGGUGUCCCUUGCACAACCAUGUUGGUCAUCACGAAGCCAGGUAAUUAAUAAUGAGUUCUAUGAUGUGUACUCAAGAAAAAAAAAUGGUUCAACAGGCUAAUACUACCUCGGUCCGCUAAUAUAUGAUGUUGGUUAGUUUAUUUUUGAGAUAGCCGACGUCAUAUAUUAAAGGAUGGAGAAAGUAUUAGGCUAGUUCGUAAAUUCUGUCUCCUAGCUUGUUGCCUUUGUGAUAUGGUCCCUUUUUUUUUGAUACUAACCAGAGCACAAACUAGUUUAGCGUGGGUCCAAGCCAAUUUCUGGAUCCGCCCCUGCUACGGCAUCCGCUAAAGAACAUGCUAUUGAAGGGGAAUGAGGUGCCGAGGUCUGUGUACGAGGCGAAGAAGAUAAUUGUCAUUUGGGAUUGGAAGUAGAAUAAGAAAAAUAUAGGUAGAGGAUAAAAUAUAGGUCGGGUACUCCCUUGCCGAUUUCCUAAAAAAGAAUAAGAAAAAUACAUGCUUAUAAGGAGAAUUGUGUAAUGUUUUGUGGAGAGUACACUAGUAGAGAAUUGGCUUUCGAUGCGCCCCCUUUUGUCCCGGUUUAAAGUUGGCCCGGGACUAAAGGGGGUGCGCCACGAUAGGCAAAAAUGGGGGGGGGGGGGUUAGUCCCGGUUGGUAAUUGCAACCGGGACUAAAGGCCCCCCUUUAGUCCCGGUUGCAACGGCUAGCUGGGGUGCGUCGGUGGCGGUACCAUUUUAUCCUUGUUGGAGCCUCCAACCGGGAUACAAAGUUUAGUCCCGGUUGGAGCCUCCAACCGGGAUAAAAGGGUGUUCCUUUUGUCCCGGUUGGAUCCUCCAACUGGGACUAAACUUUCAACCGGAACAAAAGGUGUUCCCUUUUAUCUCGGUUGGAGUUUUUAACCGGGAUAAAAACUCAUCCCCCAUUAUAUCCCGAGACAGAGGACUUUCUUCCUCCUCCAACCCGAGCUAGUCCAGCACAUUGACAGAGAGCUGAGCUUCACCUACUCUCCGGUGGUGCCGAAGCAAGGGAGGUGCUGCCCGAAGUUUUUUCCCUCAUUUUCGUGGGAAUUUGACUCAGCCAACACAAGUGUUGUGAAGGUUUGCUACUUCAUCCUCGUGUUAUGCUUUGAUUUAUGCUUUGGAGAUGGAAAGAUUAUUUGCUAGAAUGUGAUGAAGUAGAAAAUGGAGAGGUAUUUUGAGGUAGAAUGUGAGGGAGAUUGAUGUGUCAUAUAUAGUAUGCAUUCUUGCAGUAGUUUAAGAAUGAUGCUACCUUGUCUAGACGGUUUAUCUUAUCAAAUUCAAUAUGAUUUUUUAAAUCCAUACUUGUUGAACUUGCAUACCGUGUUCAUCUCUCCGAGGAUGUUCUCCGCCGAGCAGCAACGUAUGUCAAGAAGGAGGUUCGAUUCUACGAGAAAGAGUGGAUACGGACAUCGUGACCGUGUCCCCUUUUCCGUAGAAUUGAACCUCUUUCAUGACGAAGUGCAGUGCCGCCCAGUUGAGGACAUGCUCGCGAGAUAAUCACGGUCUUCAAGUUCAACAACUUAUGCAGUGUUAAGGUAAUAAUUUUUGUACAUAGAUGGCUUCUGCUACUGGAGGAAGUGGCGAUGGUGGGGGCGAUCGUGGUUCCUAUUUCGGCAAGGGGAAAAUCAUAGUUGGCCCUCAGCAUAAGCCGAAGAAAAAGAGCGCGCUGGAAAAAGUAAUGCUUCGUUAUUUGCAGCAACGUCAUGAAGAAUCUGUUGCCGCGGGUCAGGAACCUCCUUUUGGUGGUCGUUAUGCUCCACCCUCAGUCCCGGAUGUUUCACGUCCACUUAGUACUACCGUUUCAGGCGGCACAAAUAAACCUAAGGAUGAGGCUGGGUCAGCGGAACCUUCAUCUUCACCGUCCAAGGAUGCUUAAAGUCCUCCUAGAUAAUAACUAGUGGAUGGCUUGUUGUAUUGUAUCAUGUUGUUUGGAACUUUAAUUUAAAUAUGUGUAUUUGGAUCUUCAUGUUGUUGUAUUGUACCAUGUUGUUUGGAUCUUUAAUCAAUUUUCACGCGUAAUCCAUUGUCAAGUGUAAUCCAUUUUCAUGCGUAAUACGAUGCAGAUGGACCGGCAAUGGAUGUAUAAUGCAGACAGGCGGAGCAAGGUGUUUAUUGAUGGCUUGCAUUAUUUUCUCGAAGUGGCCAAAGCGAACAAGCUAGAGAAUGGGUUCGUAUGUUGUCCAUGCUUCCAAUGCAAUAACAAGAAGGAGUAUUCAAAGGAUUCCUGGGGGACUAUUCACAGCCACUUGUUUAAAUACGGUUUCAUGCCUAACUAUUUGGUUUGGACCAAGCAUGGUGAACUAGGGGUCGUAAUGGAAGGUGGCGUGGAGGAGGAGGAAGAUGACACCAUUCCGGACUGGGUUGCAGGCCAAGCUUUUGCAGGUACUACAAUGGGCGAGGCUGAUGAAGAUGAGUUUGCAGAAAAUAGCCCUACUGAUGACCUUGGUCAGGUGAUACGAGAUGCAUACAGAGAUUGCGAAACUGAGAAGGAAGCAGCAAAGUUGCAGCGCAUGAUAGAUGAUCACCAAAAAUUGUUGUACCCAGGUUGCUAGCAGGGCCAUAAAAAACUAGGUACGACACUAGAAUUUGUGCAAUGGAAGGCCAAAAAUGGUGUGUCCGAUAAGGCAUUUCAGGGGAUGUUGAACAAUGUCAAGAAGAUUCUCCCCGAGAAUAAUGAAUUACCGUCCACAACAUAUGAAGCUAAACAGAUUAUUUGCUCUCUCGGAUUGAAUGUUCAGAAGAUACACGCAUGCCCUAAUGACUGUAUCCUCUAUCGUGGUGAUGAAUACGAGAAAUUGGAUGCUUGUCCCGUCUGCGAAGCCCUGCGGUAUAAGAUCAGGCGAGAUGAUCCUGCUGAUGUCGAGGGGCAGUCUCCUAAGAAGAGAGUUCCCGCGAAGGUGAUGUGGUAUUUCCCUAUAAUACCACGCUUGAAGUGCUUGUUCAGGAACAAGGCGAAUACUAAGUUGAUGCGAUGGCACAAAGAAGACCGUAAGGAAGAUGAGAUGCUGAGACACCCCGCAGAUAGGGCACAGUGGAGAUCAAUUGAUAGAGCAUUUCCGGACUUUGAAAGUGAAGCAAGGAACAUAAGGUUUGGUUUAAGUACUGAUGGAUUCAAUCCAUUCGGUGAGUUGAGUAGUGGCCAUAGUACUUGGCCUGUGACCCUUUGUAUGUUCAACCUUCCUCCUUGGAUGUGCAUAAAGCGGAAGUUCAUUAUGAUGCCGGCGCUUAUCCGAGGCCCAAAACAACCCGGCAACGAUAUUGACGUGUACCUAAGACCGUUGGUUGAUGACCUUUUACAGCUCUGGAAAGAAGAAGGUGUACGUGUGUGGGAUGAGGAUAGACAAGAGAUCUUUAAUCUACGAGCAUUGUUGUUCGUAACCAUCAAUGAUUGGCCUGCAUUGAGUAACCUUUUAGGACAGACAAAUAAGGGAUAUCGGGCAUGCACCCACUGUUUAGACGACACAGACAGCAUUUACUUGAAGCAUUGUAAGAAGGUCGUCUAUAUGGGUCAUCAUCGAUUUCUCCCUGCUCACCACCAGCUGAGAAAGAGCGGGAUGCAUUUCAAAGGGGCGCCAGACCAUCGUAAAAAACCUGCACACCGAAUGGAAAGCGUGUCUUCGAGAUGAUGAAGGAUGUAAAUGUAGUCUUUGGAAAGGUACAUGGUAGCCAACCUGUUCCAAACGACGAUAACGGACAUGCACCCAUGUGGAAGAAAAAGUCAAUAUUUUGGGAGCUAUCUUAUUGGGAAAUCCUAGAGGUUCGCAAUGCAAUAGACGUGAUGCACCUGACGAAGAAUCUUUGCGUGAACGUGCUAGGCUUCAUGGGUGUUUAUGGGACCUCAAAAGAUACAUUGGAAGCACGACAGGACCUGAAAGCCAUGGGGCAACGAGAUGACCUACAUCCGGAAAAGAGAGAUAAUGGACAGCACUACUUACGUUCUACUAGUUACACUCUCAGCAAGGAAGAGAAGGAUAGCAUGUUUGAAUGCUUGAAUAGUAUGAAGGUCCCGUCUGGGUACUCCUCGAAUAUAAAGGGAAUAAUAAAUAUGAAACAAAAGAAGUUUACAAAUCUCAAGGCUCAUGAUUGCCACAUGUUGAUGACCCAGUUGCUUCCGGUUGCACUGAGGGGUGUUCUACUAGAAAAUGUCCGGUUGCCGCUCGUAAAGCUAUGCGCGUUUCUCAAUGCGAUUUCGCAGAAGGCAAUCGAUCCAUCCACUAUCAAAGCUACAGAACGAUGUGGUGCAAUGUCUUGUUAGUUUUGAGUUGUUAUUUCCACCAUCCUUCUUCAAUAUUAUGACGCACUUACUGGUUCACCUAGUAAAAGAGAUUGGUAUUCUUGGACCUGUAUACCUGCACAAUAUGUGGCCUUUCAAGAGGUUCAUGGUAGUCCUAAAAAACUAUGUUCUUAAUCGUGCCCGUCCAGAAGGAAGCAUCGCCAAGGGAUAUGGAACAGAGGAGGUGAUUGAGUUUUGUGUUGAUUUUAUUGAUUCAAUUGACUCGAUUGGGGUUCCAACUUCACGCCACGAGGGGAGGCUCCGAGGAAUGGGCACCCUUGGAAGGAAAUCAAGUUUAAGCAAUGAUACUGAUUUGUUCGACAAGGCACACUACACUGUUCUACAACAAUCAUCCUUUGUGUCUCCGUAUAUCGAGCAGCACAGGCAGAUGGUAGUUUCCAAAAACCCGACCAAAUCCGACGCUUGGCUUACCUGUCAUCACAUGGAAACUUUUCCCUCCUAGUUGCUCCAACAACUUAUGGGUAACUCUGAGAUUCACCCACAGCUUGCCUGGUUAGCCAGGGGACCUGCUAGCACAAUCGUCAAAUUCCAAGGCUAUGAGAUAAAUGGUUAUACAUUUUACACGAGAGCCCAGGACCAAAAAAGCAUGAACCAGAAUAGUGGUGUCCGCAUAGAUGCCAUGGACAGAAAUAAUAGCAAGGAGUCGUAUUAUGGUUUCAUACAGGAGAUAUGGGAACUCGAAUACGGACUGCUGUACAUCCCUCUAUUUCUUUGCAAUUGGGUGAAGCUAACUGUCGUAACCAAAGAUCAGUACGGAAUGACAAUAGUAGAUCCAAGCAAGACUGGAUACAGUGAUGACCCAUUCGUACUUGCCAAUGAUGUGCAUCAGGUGUUCUAUGUGAAGGACAUGUGUAGCAAACCCAAGAGGAAUCCAGAAGAGACAUGGGAGCCAAAGUGCCACAUAGUUCUUCCAGGUAAAAGAAAAAUCGUGGGAGUCGAGGAUAAAACAGACCAAUCAGAUGAUUAUGAUCAGUUUGAUGGCAUGCCUCCAUUCGCCGUUGAAGUUGAUCCAAGCAUCCUGCUAUCCAAAGAAGAGGCUCCGUACUUACGUCGCAAUCAUGAUCAAGGAACUUUCGUGAAGAAGAAAUUUUACAACGUUGUAUUGUAAUGCGCUAAAUUUACAAGACCUUUGUGUAUUAAUUGAUACAAUUUUUAAUUUACCCUAUGUAUGAUUUCAUGUGUUCUUAAAUUUGUUAGGUGAAGAUUUUUUAGAUAAACAUGAACAAUGUUAACCACAUACAAACAUGGAUUUUUCUGCGCAUUGAAAUUAUUUAAUUGAAUAAUUUCUUGAUCACAGCGAUGCAGUAAAAUAAAUAUUUUAGAGGCUAAAUGAACUGGUAUAGAAUUAAUGACUAAAUCAUACUUAUUGUCAAUUUACUCGCUAAUUAAAUAUAUUUUUGCAUGUACAAAAUAUGUGAAGGUUUUUGUUUUUCAUUCUGAAAUGCAGUGAAAAGAUAAAUAAAAUCCAUUUCCAAAAAACAGGCGGGAGAAGAAAACUAGGAAAAAGACCUUUUAUCUCGGGUGCCAACAGCAACCGGGACAAAAGGCCCCCCUUUUAUCCCGGCUGCAAACUGCAACCGGGAUAAAAGGGUACUUUUCGUCUCCCGCCUGGACGUACCCUUUUAUCCCGGUUGCCAACUGCAACCGGGAUAAAAGGCCCCCCCUUUUAUCCCGGUUGGUGGUGGCACCCGGGAUAAAAUGGUAGGCUCCCAGCCCCACCUGUUUUAUCCCGGUUGGUGACGGGACCCGGGACAAAAGGCCCUUUAGUCCCGGGUGCCCUUACGAACCGGGAUAAAAGGGGGGGGGGGGUUAAAAGGCACUGUAGCCCCUUCUACCCCCAUGCCAGUUACACUUAGCAAAAUUUUUGCCAAGUCCUGCGCGCGUUCUGCUCCGUUGCCACCCGUCCGCCUCCCUCACCGGCCGCCGCCGUCGUCGUCCCCCAUUGCCCCGGCUGUCGUCGUCCCGCCGCCGACUGCGCCCAGACAUCCUCCUCCUCCAUCGCCCCGACCAGCCCGCCUCAAUCCUCCUCGUCCGUCGCGCCCGGCCCCUACCUCGUCGCCGCCGGCCACUAGCUCCAUCGCGGGCCUCGUCGCCGCCUCCAUCCUCGUCGCCGCCUCGUCGCCCCUCGUCGCCGCCUCGUCGCCGUCCCGCCUCCGCCGUCCCGCCGUCCCGCGCGCCUUCGCUUCGUCGUCGCCUUGGCCGCUGUCCUCGCUGCCCCGGCCGCCGCCGUCCCGCCACCCCAGCCAGCGUCGACGACCGCGCGCGAGAGGUCCGCCGCGCCGGCCGGCACUGGCGCCGGGAGUACCGCCUUGCUGACGCAAGCCCACCGGCUUGCGUCAGCAAGGGCCUUUUUUUAAGUUAGAAAAUAAAUAGGUAGUAAUUAGGUACAAAUUCAAUAGAUUUUUGUAUAUGUGUUUAAGAAUCAAAUUAGUGUAAAUUAGUAGUAAUUAGUAGUAAUUAGGUUCGUCUCUCCGCCUAGGGUAGAAAUGAAUCGUGUUUCGUCGUGGUUCCGUCCCCGCCUCCGCCGUCCCGCCGCCCUGACCGCCGCCGUCACAACCUAGGCACCGCCCGUGGUUCUGUCCCCGCCUCCGCCGUCCCGCCGCCCUAACCGCCGCCGUCACAACCUAGGCACCACCUGUAGUUCCGUCCCCGCCUCCGCCCGCCGCCCGGGCCUCCGCAAAUUCAUGUUAUUGCUAGAAAUUCGUAAAAAUUCAUGUUAUUGCUAGAAAUUCGUACAAAUUCAUGUUAUUGCUAGAAAUUCAUAAAAAUUCAUGUUAUUUCUAGAAACUCGUACAAAAUUCAUGUUAUUGCUAGAAAUUCGUAAAAAUUCAUGUUAUUGCUAGAAAUUCGUCACAAAGUACUACUAAUUUGUAGAAAUUUGUAUAAAUAUUCUGGACUUUGUAGGAUUCAUGUUAUUUUAUGAUUUCAUUUUAUACAUAUAAGUAAGGCGAUUUCUAUGACUGUCAUGUAUGAUUCCAUGUAUGUUUCAAUCAAUAGUUGAAAUGGCAGACGAUGAGACCGCAAGGUAUAUCAUGGAGCAGAUAAUCGCUGGUGAUGGUAGUGGCGACAACCUUCCACUAUCGUACACGGAUGAAGAGGGCACCCAGGCGGACAUGUUCCUCAACAUGUCCGCCGAUGGGAAUGAAGAGCAACAGCCCCAGCAACACCUUGCCAUGGCGGAAGGUUCCGGCGAGGUAUAUAUAAUGAUUCUUGUAUUGUUUCACGCCACCGUUACUACUACGUACUAAUUAACGAAUCUUGAACUGUUAGCCCUCCGGAUCGACGCAAGGGCAGAAGACCCGAGGUCGUACAAAGGUGAUGGAAGUGACAGAAGAGGGCAGGCCAGUUGCUCCCGAGAAAGUAGCAAAGAAGUACGUGAGUCAGAUCGGGGCAAUCGUCCGGGACAAUGUGCCUAUCAGCAUCAGAGAAUGGAAGGGCAGAAGCACUAAUCCGUACGCCCUCCCGGAGACAGAAAAGAAUAUGCUGUGGGAAGACGUCAAGAGACAUUUCACAUUCCCCGAAGGAUAUAUUGAGAAGGAUGUGAAAGUGUGGACGCUUAAGAAGAUGGCUACAUAAUUCCAGACAUUCAAGAAGAUACUGGAUACCCACUACAUUAAGAAGGGCCGAACUCCAGACUUCAAUGCGUGGCCAAAGUUGAGGGACCACUGGGAUGCAUCUGUUGAAUAUAAGAGGAGUGAAGACGGUGUGAAAAACAUCAUGACCAACACAACAAAUGCUAGUCAGAAGGGCUACCAUCAUCAUCUGGGGCGAGGUGGGUAUGGCUCAGCAAUUCCCAAGUGGAGGAAGAUGGAACAAGAUCUGAUCGAACGGGGAAUCGUACCUGCAACUAUUGAAUGGCCCGAACGAUCAAAAAAUUGGUACUGCGCUCAUGGAGGCUCCCUGAGCCAAGAGGAUGGGACGUUGAUUUUUAAUGACACAAUACGUGAGAAGGCCGAACAUCUUGUGAAGAACAUUGAAGAUUCUAAGGCUGGGAGGUUGAAGGUGGACCGAGAAAAUGAUGAGCUCACAUUGGCCCUCGGUAAUCCGGAGCACUCAGGACGUUGCUGAGGGUUUGGGGUGGUUCUGUGCAAGUUUGCUUUCCGAGGCGACAGCGCCUCGUACAGAAGCCGGAAGCGAAGAAAGGAAUAGAUCGAGGAGAGCUGGCGGCAGAUGCUAGAAUCUAAAGUGCAGGCACAAGAACAAAGAAUGAUGGAGGAAAUCAAUCGUCGAGUGGCCCACGCAGUUGCGGAGUUGGCCCAAUCUGGAGCAUUGCCGAAUCCUAACACCGCCAGCCCUUCUCAAUGCCUCUUGAGCAGUUGUGCUUCUACAAGGGUCCCCGAUGCGCAGACGCCCGGGUUACCCGUGGAGGAGCAACGGUUCCCCGUGGAUGCCAUCACGCAACGGACCUCAUGUGAGCUGCAUGCACCGGUCGGCAACCUCACUAUUAAGGUAUACUUAUACAUAAUAUUUAUACAAUCUUGUCAAUUGAUCCAGGCCUCGAGAUCGGAGUUCAACUUGUUUACUUCUGCUAUAUGUACAGGUAGCGUAUGGGAGUGCGUUAGCAACCCUGGCGGGGCAGAGCAGUCAUGGCAUGGAGAUUCCACCUGGCUACGCCAGCGUCCGCGUAGAGCAAAUAGUUGAUAGCCAAUAUGAAGGUCUAGAGCUCGACCUCCCGGGAGGAGACGGGGAAAAUACAUUGGCAGAUGCGCUUCAUGGGAUCAUUCUAUGGCGAAAACGCUACAUCAUUAUUCCCGGCACGGAGCCAUCUCCUCAGAGCUCAAGACCGCUCCCCGUAGAUCCCCAGCAGCGACCUUCUCCUCAUACCUCAAGACCGACAUCUCCUGCUCGAGGACCGUCCCUUCCAUCUAUAUCAAGGUCUCCAUCUCCACCACAUCCUGGUGGUGGGAGCGAUGACGACAAUAACAACACCCCUCCCCGAUCACCGUCGCCGGCACCAAGAGCGGCCCCCAUGAAGGAACCUGCACCACCACUAAAGAAGUCACGAGCACCGCCUCCCAAGCAAAGACAGAGAAAGAAGAAAACAAAGGAGCCUGAAGUGACUCGUAAGGAACGCUAGGAGGCAAUAUCUCAUGCGGAACAGUGGGCAGAAAUCCAACGAGAAGCCAGUGAGUGGUUCAAGAAACAAGCCGAAGAAAAAAAAGCAAGGGAGAUGGAGCCACCGCCAGUAAGUCGAAGAGAUUUAAACUUUUUUAUCAGGAUGGAAGAAGGAGCCAAGAAAAGGAUACUACUCUUAUCAAACUAUGAACGGGCUUUAGUAAAGGCUGAUGAAAAGGAUAAAAGGAAAGGAAAGUCAUCUUCCAGCGGUCCUGUCCCCGACCUCAGCCAUUUAUCAAAAAAAGACGCUCAAAGGGUAAAAGCAAUGCCCUUGGAUCAACAAGCAAAUGUAUUGAAGUUCAUGGAAGAAACAGGUCUGGGACUUGAUGAAUGCAUAGGGCAAGUUGAGACGCCAACUGCACCGCCCCCUGAGCCGAGAUGGCCUUAUGAGCUAGGCAAACCUCUAGUAAAGCCUUCAUUGGUACGGAAGCUAUCAACAAAGAUGUACGCAUUUCAUCAAUGGUACAUGAUGGCAUCCACCGACUCGAGGGAGAUGCUCGGCCUGAAGGUAAAACCGAUAGAUUUUCACGGCGAAGGCAAGAAAGUGCUGUGGCUAGACUUCAAGGACAUAUACGAAGUGUACCAUCAUGAUGCCCUGGACGUCUCUCUGAUCAGCGCUUGGGUUCUGUAAGUGUCCAUUUAUCUCUACAUGUAAAUUUUGGCGUGCGUCACCGUACUAACUUCGUCUUCCAUUUUAUGUAGGAUGCUAAUUCAGACAUGCUACCGAGAGGCGUACCUACAUAUAGGCUUCAUGGAUCUUUCUGUAGUUAACCAACAACAGAUACAAUUAGUGCCGGAAAAAACCUUGGUGGAAGUAUACAAUUUCCUAGACAAACAAACAUUCAAGGAUUUCAUACUACUUCCAUACAACUUCAAGUAAGUGUGUGUAUACCGUCUACUUUCGAUGUCUUUUUCCUUAUCUCUACAUGUUAGUUAGAUCUAAUAUGCAUGAACAUUUUACGCACGCAGCUUCCACUGGAUCCUUAUUAUAAUUGAGCCUGAAAGAAGCCACGUCACUGUCUUCGAUUCGUUGAGGAAAGAUCCGGUGGAGUACCAAGAAGUGCAAGACAUGCUAGGCUUGUAAUAAUUCUGGACCUUUAUCUCUAUGCAAAAGUUUGUUUCCUAAAUUUUAUCCCUGUUACACUAUAUCAUUCAUUAUUCUAAUCCGCAGCGCAUGGAAACAAUUCAUAAGGACACACAAAGGUCCAUUCAAAGAAAAACUUACAUGGAACACAGACUUCCCGGUACGUAUGAAGUCUGCACAUUUAUUACAUUGUAUAACAAGAAUAUUUCAUAACUUAUUUUUUUCCGCACUGAAGUGCUUAAGACAGGAACCCGGGAAUAAUCUAUGUGGCUACUACAUCUGUGAGCACAUGCACAGUUUUAUGGGACCCAAGGGACUGAAGAUGACGCCGCACAACUUUAAAGUACGUAAAAUAAAACUAUUACUAGUUAAUUAUUUUCUAGCUCCUUAUAUGUAUUUGUUCGUGUAACAUUCACAAAUUUCCAAAUUAUAGAUGUUCAAUAUUCAACAAGGACUCUUGAAGGAAGAAAGAGUAGCGGCAAUAUGUGAAGGUCUCAUUGGAUUCCUAAUGGACGAGGUGGUAGAUCCAAAAGGAGAAUUUUAUUACGAUGGACGACAAUUAGACACUUCGAUCAGCAACACCACGACGGGAAGAUUGUAGAUAGAUACUUUGAUUUAUUUGUAUAUAUAAUACGCGCUAAUUAUGAUCGAUUUGUACUAGUUGAAUUGUGUAUAAGAAUUGUGUAUAUAUAUAGUAAUUGUAUAAUUACAAAUCCUAUUCGUUUAAAUACUAGUUGAUUUCGUUCUAAAAAAAAUCUCAACUACUAAAGGUUAACAAAAGGGCCGCGGUACUACGUACGUGAUGCAUGCAUGAAAAAUUCAGGCGCCAGACAGUGCCAUGCAGGGUGCCAUUUAGUCCCGGUUGGAAUCCAGCCGGGACUAAAGGGUAACCCUUUACUCCCGGUUGGGAAACCCUUUACUAAAGGGGAACCCUUUAGUCCCGGUUGCUUUUACCAACCGGGACUAAAGGGGGACCUUUACUCCCGGUUAAAAGACCCGGGACUAAAGACCCCCCCUUUGUCCCGGUUGGUUUAUCCUGGAUGGAUUUUCGGGAGAUAUGCACCCUACCAACCGGGACUUUAGACUAAAGGCUAAUUCUCUACUAGUGGUACUACGUAGAUAUGGAUCAUUACCCUCAAUAUGGACUCUCUCAUUUCCAUAAAAAAAAAAAUGGACUCUCUCAGCACAGUACGAUGGGGAUAGUGGCUGCCUGUAAUUUCCCAUUUGAAGCGCAUGUUUUGAAACAAAAAGGUCGAUCGAGUCUAUGCACUGAUUUUUCAUAACAGUCCUUUAUAUACUAUAAGCAAAUGAAGUAGAUAAAGAGUGUCGAUCGAGUGAUUGAAUAAAAGCGCGCGAGUGGAGGCUCGAUUCUUUUGAUAGAAAAAGUAAAUUGACCGAGGAAAAAAGAUCAAGGUGCUAGAUGUUUCUUCCUAAACGUAACUGCACUUGCUGUUCAUCAAACAAAAAGAAAAGAGAAAAACGGGAAGUCCAGCUCUCAAUAAAUUCUUUUUGGAACACACGCAGAGAAAGAUACGAAACGCAACAGAAAAGGGGAGCCACGAAACUCCCAAUUUUUUCGCUCGUCCGAACAUUCAAAACAGCCGGAAACAGACGAAGCAACUGACGCACGACGAAUCCCGGCGCAUGUGCGCGCGAGCGAACCCGGAUGUCGACGGCUGCGCUGCGUUGCAUUGCAUGCCUCCGCAUGUGAGGUGCGGGCCACCUCCGGGAGUCCGGGCCCGGGCCGUUGAAUACCUGGGCGAACCAGUGGCUGCCGGCACGCAGAAUGCAGCGGCGGUCACCAUCCGCGCGCCGAGCGAGCAGCCUCCAUGCACCAGAUUUCCCGGGCCUACACCGUGGCCGGCUGGUGUUGGCUGAGCCCCAACGCUCCCCUCGUGGCGUCUCGCGGUCGUGGGAGGGGCAUGGCCAGCUUGAGCUACCUACGGACGCUUCAAGGCAGAGAACGACGUAUCACGUCAAAUGCUAUCCGUCCAAUAAGAGAAUUUGCGGCCUAUAUUUCCGGAGUUGAUUAUUACAAGAUUCUUGCGUUUGCCGGUGGACGUACGAUGGUUGAACAACGCUAGAUGGACUAAGUGCUAGCUCAAUCAUCUCCAAAACGCGCACAUGCACGCGCCGGAUAUGUCCAUCCACGAAUGAAGAAAAAGGAUGCAACAUCACGUUUCUUAGUUCGCACUGCAUGCAGAUGCAGCACAUGCCAAUAUGCACUUCGGAUGGAGAGGAGGCCGGUCCCAACUAGUAGUAAAACUGUAGAACAGGGAGACAAACCUGCACGGUUUGAACAAUGUGUGACACGUAAGAAUGGCCACGCAUCGGCUCCAUGCAUGUGUAAUGGAACGUCUCAAAUCAGUACCAACAACUACGCUUGCUUGUGCAAAUGGAAAGACAAAAUGGGUUGCAUCCGUAUUCAGUUUAUUAAUGGCCCAAAUAGCGCAGUACCUUGCAAGUUUGCAACGGCAGUGGGUUAGGAAAUUAUUCAGAGCUUAGAUCUUUUUCUGGUUUCACAAUGUCAGGUUUGGUCCAUUAGAACUGAAAUCCACUUAAAAGACAUCUCCAAUCGUGACACCUCAUCUACCCAAAGUAAGUCCACAUUAGCUUUUUAAUUACGUGGAUAGAGCCAUAGAGGUGAGGUAAAAACAUAAGAUAUAGUGCUUCGUCUGUCACUAAUAAUAAAGUAUAGUUAAUUCCAAGGCCAUUCACAAGGCCCACCGAUCCCCUCUGUCCUUGUCUUUGUAAUCUCUUCAUCCCCUCAUGUUGUAAUCUGCUGGAGAUAAAUUGUUUUGGGUAUGAGGUAGGGGUAAUCUGAGACGCUCUUAUUGAUGUAUUUUAAUUUGUGGAAGGUCAUUCAGAUGCAUCUGGUGUAGGGGGCUAAGGUUGGUCUAGGAUGAGGAAAGGAAAAGGAGUGCGAACGCUUGCGGCAUCUUGAAUUCGGCUAAUUCAAUGAACAUCCCGAAAUUUCAGGUUCAGUUAAUUCAAUGAACAGCCGAAACUUCGGGCAAACAAUACUUAUGGUCAUUACCGAAAACCGAAAUUUGGAACACUACAGCUUCUUUUACAUAUAUAGCAGUUUCAUGGAAUAUGCAAUAGGACACUGAAGUUGGUUUUAUUUGUUGCAAGACACUAGAAAUGAGCUGGAGACUGUCCAUUAGUGUCCUAUAUAUAGCAUAGACCACACAAGUUCGGUGUCUUGUCGCAAAAUUUUCCUUUCAAUUUCUAACCCUAGAUCUACAUUGAAAAUUUUAGUUGAAUAUGUUAUUUGCUACUCUCCAAAAUAGAGAAAAUACCACGUUCGUUCGUAUAAGAAGAUCAACCUAGUUAAGAGUGUUUGUUGUGGUGCUAAAGUUGAGAACUUUAUAUAAGCAAGUUUGUAGCUGGUGUUGUUGGUUAUUGUUAGAAAUUUAGGCAUAUUUCGGUACAUUUUAAUUCCAAAAUUAAUCAUGUAAAAGAUUAUCAUGAAUAUGUUAGGUGACUUGGUGACAGCGUGAUAUGUGCAAGUGUUCAGGUUUAAUCUUCUAAUAAACAAGAACAAACAGAACCAAAAGAGAUUUAGGAUGUACUCUAGGGCGGGGCCCGUGCUGAGGCACCGAUGCGCCGUUACCAUUUGGAUUAUUCAUAUCGUGGGCUGGCCUUAGUCGAUAUAGUCAUACAAGUGAUGCAGGAAGAUGUACGCAGUGCAGUUCCUCGAACGACGUUCUUGAAGUAGAAGGAGGUAGUCGUUCAGUUGGACGUAGAGGAAGUAGUCGUUCGGCCACCAGGAAGUAGUCGAACAGGAAGCGAGCAGUCACAUCAAACACUCCUCAAAAGCCUUAUUGCCUGCCUAUCCCGAGCAGGAUCUUCAGUGGCAGUUGUGGUUCUGGAGGCUCUGCUCUCUCGCCAGAACUGUGCGCGCAGUGCUAGCGAUGGGAAUGCAUGGUAGAAGCAGAAAAUAGUGAGGGAGAAAGAGAGAGGUUUCCUAAACAGGAGUACCUUAGAGUGUUUCGGUGUUUUGCACGUGUGAGAGCAAGAGGAGGUGCCUCUCUUAUAUAGGCUCUAAGAGGUGAGGUUCAUCGAACCUGCACAUCAUAAUGUGAUGGAAGUUACUAGUAAUUGAUGGGAAUAAUGGUCAUCAAACACUAGUAACUCUCAACAUCUUAUUGGCUAUGUUAAUUGAGUGAAUCAAUUCUCAUAAACAACAAUAAUAACCUCUCCUUAACUUCCCAUGCAAAAUUGACCAAUUAGUCACUCCUAGCAUUUAUCAUAGACCUUUUAAUUCUUAUUUGAUUAAUUGAAAUAAAUGGGCCUAACCCAAUUAAUCCAACAAUCCACACCAAGAAUUUCAAGGUACACAAAAAUACUCUCAGUUCCACUGUAAUCUUUGAUAUACUAGUAUUUCGGUGGAGACUGUUAAGUUGAACAUCCACCUAGAACUAAGGUUACACUUAUUAACAAUUGAACAAUGGACUAUGCCUUGAAUUGUCAGUCAUGUGCAAACAAGUUUUUCCAGAGCUCUUCACUGAUACUAGGUUGUGAAAGCAUCCCCACGGUUUGAAGCUUAUAAGUCAUUCUCCAGGCCUUUCAUGAGUUUCUAGAGAUCACCAACUCUCAUAGACUGUCGUACAUACAUCUAUGAGCCUACCAGAAGGUUUGGAUAGUACCAAAUAUGAGGCUAGACACCGAGGCGUAUUUGACAUGGAGACCAUGGUGCAGGACGGCGUAGUCUACAGGGAAAGAUAGAAACUAGUUGAGGAUUAGCAAAGUACCCAUUGUAAUAAGAGUAGAACUUCUCUAGUCGUAUCCAACUAGUAUUCUUGUAACCAACUGACAUAUAACCCUGCCUUUGUGUAUAUAAGGAGAGGCAGGGACCCCCUCCAAAGCAGUCCAAUACAACCAACACACAGGAUGUAGGGUACUAUGCUAUUUAGCGGCCUGAACCUAUCUAAAUUGUGUGUCUAAGUUUACCUUUGAGUUCCUGAUCUUGACGAGCCCCACCAACCAAAACACUACCUCGGGCACCCCCCUCGGUAGGUUGCCGGGUCUAAACAUCAAAAGCUAGCGCGCCAGGUAGGGGAUCUCGCGGAGAAUCCGCUAGCGAACUCGAUGGCACAAGUCAUCAUCAAGCCAACCGUCGUGUUUCAAGAAGGCGCGACGUUCGUCUUCGACUCCUGGGUUUGCAUCGCAAACAAUGCCAGAAGUUUCCGCCGCCACAUCGCACCAGCCUCGGAGAAGCACUCAACCAUGAAGCUCCAUCACGAAGUGCUGGAAGAUCUUGUCGAGAAUUUCAGCGAAUUUUCAAUUUUUGACCUAGUUAGAGGUUGGAGAGAUGAGUUCGGCUACAACUCGACUUCUCCCUCCAACCAGAUUGACUUGCACGAGCUGGUGCAACAACCAUCGUGCAAAUCGGACUACUACCAAAGUCGAUUACUGUUCAGACUCCUCAACGCGGCCACUACCUACCAGGCGACCUUGUCCAGAUCACACUCCGAUAUGGAUGAGAUCGAUGACCUUGACUACUACUCGGAUUCGAACGAGAAAACUUCUUUAUCAGGACUGCAACAAGUCUUGAUAAUCACAUCAACUCCACAAGGCAGAUUCGUCUACUGGCCCAACAUGAAGCCGUCCGCUCUAGCCAAGGAUGACGAUUCACGCCUCAUCGCCUACCUCGACACUCUCCCAUAUCAAGAGGAAGCUCCUCUGUCUCCUAUUCCAGAAGAAAGUGGCUCUACGAAAGUCAUCACCUCUAGUUCGGGAAGCUUCUCACCAGAGUGGGAAGUUUUCACCGUUCUUACAAACCAAGAUGGUGAUUAGGAAGAAGAACAACGGGAUAGGAACCCUCGAUGUGAACACCACCCAGAUGAUGUCUCUCAAGAUGAACACACUGCUAACGUCGUCGGGGAAGAAACGGAAGCUUAAAGAACCCGACGAAGGGCAAGAAACACUGCGAGAGCGGAGCAUCGACACCGUCUCAUAGUAGAUCUACCAAUCUAGAAUCUGGAUAGAGCUUUCAAAGCAGUUUAGACUCACCACCACCGUACUCCUCUGGCCACCAUCGCAUCCAUAGAUCUCAUCACCCGCGCGAUACCCCAAAAUAAGUACAUGGAGCAACUGGCUGACCUGGUGAAACUUGCGUACGAACAACUCAAUCACAUGAACCCCAUAUAAUUAGUCCAACCCCCCGAGUUCCACUGAAGCCAGCAUGGUAGCAGCCAUAGAGGCCCUCCCCCAGGGGGAGCCGGAGGCACCAGACCAAGUCAUGAUGGUGGUGCUAGACCAAGUCAGGUCGGAGGCAGAAGACCUAGCCAAGCAGGAGCUGAGGGAAGCCGAGCAGGACCCUCGGGAGGCCACGGCCACCGUGGGGGCGCACUAGAAUGCCCAGCAGAAGAUACAAAAACAAAAUGGUUACCUUGUGGAUCGCCGCAGCUUUAGCGAUGGUUUCCCCACCAAGCGUAGUGGCUGACAGUGGGGGCAGACUCUCCUAGCAAGGCACGUGGAGGUACUUCCUGACCACUACCAGCCAGGGCUAAUUUCAGCAGAGGGGGUUCUUGAUUAUCUCCGACUUCAAUGACCUCCCCAGGGGAUGGAACUUCCAACAAGACGGCACCAGAAACAGCCUCCAUCGCCUUGAUUACAUUGUCGACUACCUACAAAUACAACAAAGGCUUGAUUCAUAGCCAUGAGAUCAACAUACAUAUACAAUCAUACUCGCACCUCAGGGUUUUGCCCUUCCUCAAAGGUUAUUACUAGCAGAUGUCGGUGUUCUAGAUCGGCAACCCGCCUAGGGGGUACCCUAGGUGGUCUUUUAUGCGGUAAGGGCUGUCUAGAAUCACGGAGUCAAUGGCGACGCAAGGAACACGAUUUAGACAGGUUCGGACCGCUAGAUCGCGUAAUACCCUAUGUCCUAUGUGUUUGUUUGUAUUGAUCUUAGAUGCACUUGGAGUUGUUAUGUUUGAGGGGGGUCCCUGCCCACCCUUAUAUGCACGGAAGGGCAGGGUUACAAGUCCUAGUCCUAGUCGAGUACAGGUACAGAGUUCUACUCGGUUUGCCCCGAGUAGUUUCCAUAUACAUACUUGACUAGUCCGAGUGGGAUACGCCUAUCCCCGUCUUGAUCAUGUCCGAGCACUUUGGACAAGCCCCCGAGUACUUUGUAGUCGUACGCCGCAUACUCGAGUACUGUGGGCAUUAUCUGAGUAGUUCUUCGUAGGGGUUGCAGUGUCCAAAGUGCUCGAGUACUAUCGCAUGGCUGGAAGGUACUCUUCUUGCUCCUUUGAGUUGCUUCUUAUUCCAAGAAUUUUAUAUGGUAGUGCGAUGACAAUCGCACUCCAUAUGGAGUAGCCCCCGAGCCUUAGGUUGAGUCGAAGAGUCAGGCUUAGGGUCAAUCCUGCUUCUUGGUUGUUUUACUCUUGGUAGUCUGAGAAACAAAAUUUUGACCAUUGGGUACGGUACCCGCAGCCCCCGAGCACUUAGGUGAUUUUUGUCGUUGAAGUGGUCAAAAACCCAUUGAUAGGAGUAGCCAUUGGGUGUUAUGACAUUAAAUCUAUUUAAAACCUUUCCGUUGCGUAACUGACACUUGGAAUCCGGAGGUGGCGGAGAUAUAACUGGAGGGCCCCCUUUCGUUUAGGUUUACUAUUGCAUAUGCAUCUCGUGUAGAAGCGAAUCUCGUAGACAGGAUGUACAAACUGCUCCCGACAACUGAGGAAGUACCGGCCGAGCUACAUCAUGUCGAGGCCGAGCAGAAGAUCAGCGAAACAUCCAACGAGCUUCCCACUAACUUAGAAUAGGAAGGCAAGCCCCGGAGCAUAACCCAAUUUUUCUAAAUUUAUGCACUACUUAUGUUUCUUAUGUUUGUGCAUUUAAGUUCAUAGGAGUUGCUUGAAACCUUAGUUGCAUGAUCUCAGGUGCCUAUGGUUGAAUACUAGAAUGAUAGGCCGAGUAGUUGCUAUGCUAAAUAGGACUUGGUAAAAGUCAAGUGAGUUCCAGUCACUCAUGAGUUAUAGGAGUUGAUUGGUUACUCUUACUGCAACUAUAAGGACGACUGACAGGAUCGGGAUUGGUUCCCACUUAGUGGUUGUGUCCCGUCUGUCUAGCAAUGAACAUGCUAAGGUUGAAUUGUAUUUAGAGCUGUGUUCAAGUGUUUGAAAGUACUAAUCUCAUACUUAGUAUGGGAUAGGGAAGCCUAGUACCUGAUUGAACCGGGACGUGAGCAGACCGCCCCACUGUCUCUGGAACAGAGUUUCCCCUGGUGCAUCAUGAGGUUUAAGUGUAGUCACGAUAAGGCAUCGUCCGGGAGCGUGGGGCAUUGUAUCCAAGGGAAGUGGGCCUGAUACGUGCCUGGGGUUUGAUGGGGACGGCUGACAUGUGUGGACCCGUCGUGGUACGCAAUGUCGUGGGGUUAGGUUCACCUUGCAAGGUUAAGAAACUCAAUUCGAAUCGUCUGCCUCUCACAGUUUGAGACUGCUUGACCCACUUCUGCACCGAGUAACAAGUGGAAUAGAGAAUGAUUAUUUUAAUGGUGAUGCUUGGACUAAAAUGUUUCAUCAACAUGCUUGCUUAGAAUAGGUGCUAACCUAGAGUAGUUAAUCAACUAGAACCUGAUGCUAAAACUUGAAAGUAAGGGCUUACUAUAGAUGCUUUUGGCAAAACAACCCCUCAGCCAGAAAGCCUUGCAUGUCUAGGAGUCAGUGAAGUAGUUACCACCUGACGGGUAAGUCUUGUUGAGUAUUAGUAUACUCAGCCUUGCUUGUGGCUAUAUUUUUAGGUAGUGUUGAUUUUGAGGAGAUGGUUGCCAGUUUGACUUGGCCGACCCAACUCCCUCCGGGUUGGACUAUCGAGUGGAACCUGUCCUCAGACGGCGAGGAUCGUGGUGAUUGAUAUCAUGGUCGGCUUCGCCAUGGUAUUAUGUAUCAACGUUAGUUGCAUUGUGUCUUUUUCCACUGCUUAAACUCUGAAACAAUUUAGUUAAUGCACUUUUAAACUAUUGUUGUGUCAUAACUGGAUUUGAAUUUAUAUAUUAAGUAUCGGAAUGUUGUAAUCUCUGGACUCGCCUUCGUGUGAGAUGCUUUUCGUUUCGAUCUGAGACAAGUGGUUUAUCGGUAUAACCCAACAGAUUACCAUUUUAACUUGAUUAAAGUGUCGGUUCGCAUGUGAGGCAAAGUUGAGUACACUUUAGCUAGGUUAAUCUGGGUGGUUCUGCCACGUGAGUCUAGUUGUAACAGGGGCCAGAACAACAACAAUUAGAAUAAUGGCCAGCGUAAUGACAAGAACUGUAAUGAUUGCCCCAAUAAUGACAACCGAGACAACUACUCGGGUGGUCAGAAUCGCAAGAGGAAGCCAGACAAUACUGUCACGACAAUGUCUCAAUCUUCCUAGAAAGGUGGCAAGAAUCAAGAAAGGACUCCAUUUAGCCAGCUCCUAAAAAAGUAGUGCCCAUGGCACCCGCACCAUAAACUCUCUGCAUUGGAUUGCUAUAGUCUGCGCAGAGUCAUGAAAGAUCUGUCGGAACCUUUUGGAACAAAGGACAAGGGCAAGGUGAAAGAAGACGAAGAUGAUGGCGAUAACGGAAAAUUCCAGAACCUGUCCAACACCAUCAAUGUCAUCUUUGGCAGCACAUAGGGUACUGCUACUAAGCGGUCCCAGAAAUUAGCCCUCCGAGAGAUUACGUCCAUUAAACCAGCAACUCCUACAUUCCUCAAGUGGUCUAAGGUGCCAAUCACCUUCUCCAAGAAGGAUCAGUGGACUAGUUUCUUCGUUCAGGAUGCGACCCUCUCGUCCUGGACCUAGUAGUCACAGGCUCUAGACUCACAAAAGUGCUCAUUGAUGGCAGUAACGGUCUCAACGUACUAUUGGCCAAGACUUUGAGGAAGAUGGACCUCGACAUUACGGAUAUGCUCACCUCGAUAAACUCUCCAUUCUACGGGAUUGUCCUAGGCAAUAUGGUUGUACCCUUGGUCAAGUGGUUUUGCCAAUUUCCUUCAGGACCAAAGAACACUAUCAGACAGAGUACAUCCAGUUCAACGUGACUGAUUUUGAAACAUCGUAUCACGUUAUCCUCGGAAGACCCGCCUUGGCCAAAUUCAUAGCCAUUCCGCAUUACCUGUACCUAGUACUCAAAAUGCUGGGACCUAAGGGAGUACUCUCCCAGCACGAAGACUUGAAAAGAUCAUAUGACUGCGACACAGAAGCCGUGGAGCUGGCAGCGACUACUCAACUGUCAAAUUCAAUGAUGCAAGUCUUUGUCGCUUCCAAGAAACUGUCCCUGUCAGAAUUUGAGAUCCCAGAGAAGAAGUCGGGGCCAACCAAGGUCAAGCCGGCAAGUGAAGUUGAUAUCAAAGCCAUUGACCUCGAAACUGGCAACAGCUCCAAGACAACCCUGAUUGGCUCAGGGCUGGAUCCUAAAUAGGAAGCCACGCUCGCCAGCUUCCUCAGGGCCAACCGAGACAUCUUCGCAUGGAAGCCAUCAAAUAUGCUGGGGGUGCCUAGGGAGUUGAUCGAGCACUAACUAAAUGUGGAUCCCAAAGGUACGCCAAAAUAACAACGACUACGUCGAUUCACCCAAGAUAGAAGAGAAGCAAUCAAAAAGGAGUUAGCCAAACUACUCAUGGCAGGCUUCACAAAAGAAGUCUAUCAUCCAGAGUGGCUGGCCAAUCCUAUCUUGGUGCGGAAGAAAAACAACUACGAGUGGAGGAUGUGUAUCGACUACAUAGACCUCAAUAAGCACUGUCCAAAGGAUCCCUUCGGGCUCCCUAGGAUUGAUCAAGUCCUAGACUCGAUGGAUGCAUGCGCUCUACUCUACUUCGUUGAUUGCUACUCGGGGUAUCACUAGAUAGCUCUCAAGGAAGAAGAUCAAAUCAAGACUGCGUUCAUCACUCCUUACGGAGCUUUCUGCUAAACAACAAUGUUCUUCGGGUUGAAGAACGCAGGCGCCACCUAUCAACGGGCAAUCCAGGAGUGCUUCAAGAAACAACUACACCACAACAUAGAGGCAUACGUGGAUGAUGUGCUCGUAAAGACAAAAAAUCCCGACGACUUGAUUGUGGAUCUGGAAGAAAUCUUCGCAAGCUUGCGAGAUUUCCAGUGGAAGCUAAACCCAACAAAAUGCAUGUUCAGCGUACCCUCUGGAAAACUACAUGGGUUCAUCAUCACUCACCAAGGGAUUGAGGCUAAUCCCUAGAAGAUCUCUUCCAUCACCAAUUUGCACGCUCCAUUGCGCAUCAAGGACAUCUAGAAGCUGACUGGAUGCAUGGCGGCCCUCAACAGGUUCAUCUCAAGGCUUGGAGAAUGGGGACUACCCUUCUUCAAACUACUCAAGCGGCAAGACAAGUUCCAGGGGACUGAGGCAAAUCAAGCCUUGCAACAGUUGAAGAACUUCUAAUCAAAGCUACCGGUCCUCACGGCGCCAAAUCCCAAUGAAGACUUGCUGCUCUACAUUGCCGCGACAACUAAUGUUGUCAGCACAGCGAUCAUGGUUAAAAGACCAGAACCUGGCCAUGUAUACAAAGUAAAGAGGCCCGUCUACUUCGUCAGCGAGGAGUUGUUAGACUCCAAAUCCAGGUACCCGCCAGUCCCAAAGCUGCUAUAUGCAGUACUACUCACCGCGCGGAAGCUACGACACUAUUUCUAGGAACACAACAUCUCCGUCGUCAUAGCUUUCCCCUUGGGAGAUAUUCUUCACAAUCGAGAUGCAACAGGAAGAAUCUCUAAUUGGGUGGUAGAACUCGAAGCAGUAUCCCUGGAUUUCAAGUCGAGGACUGCCAUCAAGUCAUAGACACUAGUUGAUUUCAUGGCAGAGUGGCGGGAAAAUCAAGUACCAAUGCUAGCAGAGCGCCCAGAGCAUUGGGUCAUGUAUUUUGAUGGAUCACUCAAGCUCGAGGGUGCUGGUGCAGGAGUUUUCUUAAUCUCUCCCAAAGGUGAAGAACUUAAAUAUGUCUUGCAAAUCUUUUGGGAGGUGUCCAACAAUGAAGCUGAAUACGAAAUGCUCCCGCACGGGCUCCGCCUGGCAGUCUCGCUGGGAAUGAAGUGAUUGUUGGUCUAUGGUGACUCACUGGUGGUAAUCAAUCAAGUCAACGAUGAGUGGGAUCACCACAGGGACAACAUGGAUGCAUACUGCAUGGAAGUAUGUAAGCUAGAGAACAAGUUCUUUGGUCUGGAGUUCCACCACAUGGUCCACGACAACAAUGUAGCUAGGGACGUCUUAUCCAAGCUUGGAUCUACUCAUGCUCAAGUUCUAGCUGGCGCCAUCAAAAACCACCGAUCGAGGUCAUGAUGCACCAGACUGGGAGGUUAUGAUGGUCGAUGUAGAUUGGAGAACCCCCUUCAUCGACUACAUAAAGGAGCACAAGUUAUCUUCAGACAAGACUGAAGCAGAGCAAGUCUCAUGGCGCAGCAAGAACUAUGUUCUAGUCGAGGAUAAGCUUACAGGUGAGGCGCAUCAUCUGGAGUACUCAUGAAGUGCGUAUCGAGGCAACAUGGCAAGGACAUACUUGAGGAAAUCCACAAAGGCAUCUGCAGCAACCACGCAUCCUCAAGAACGAUCAUGGGCAAGGCUUUCAGAGCAGGAUUCUAUUGGCCAACAGCUCUCGCUGACGCUGAAGAACUAGUCCGCCGAUGCCAAGGGUGUCAAUUCUUCACCAAGCAACAACACAUCCAUGCCUAUAAAUUGAUCACCAUACCACCCUCUUGGCCCUUUGCAUGCUGGGGGCUAGACAUGAUUGGCCCACUGCCAACAGUGCUCGAGGCUUCAACCAAGUACUCGUGGUGAUUGACAAGUUCACCAAGUGAAUCGAGGUGAAGCUAGUAACCUGCCUUAAGGCAGACAGAGUACUCGACUUCCUUGACGAAAAUGUCCAUCGCUACGGCUUCCCCAAUCACAUCAUCACAGACUUGGGCUCCAAUUUCAACAACCACGAGUUCUGGGAGUACAGCGAGAAUAGUGGGAUUGAUGUUCGAUAGAUCUCUGUCGCUCAUCCGCAGGCCAAUGGCUAGGUUGACCAUGCCAACGGGAUGUUACUGGAAGUUCUUAAGGAAAGACUACACGACAUUGGAAACACCAAAGGUGGCAAGUCGCUCAAGGAGCUACACAAUGUCCUUUGGGGGCUUCGCACCCAACCGUGCAUACCUGCAGGGUACUCGCCCACUUGGGGCCGAUCCAGAGCGGGUGAGGCACACCAUCUGCAAGAGUGUACUUUUUCCAUUAGUCACGUAAUUCGAAAGCUUGCUUAAUCACAAGGAAAAAUUAUAUGCUGAAUCAUAAACGUUCAUCUUACCGAUAGUGAGAAAAACAACAAUAAGAUCCCUUAUUGAGUAGGUGCAUAUAUCUUCCUGGUUAGGCACAUGGUUUCUCAUCUUUUAUUGAGUAGGUGCAUAUCUCUUCCUUGUUAUGCUCAUGAUUUCUCAUCUUUUAUUUAGUAGGUGCAUAUAUCUUCUUUCCAUUCUUGGUUCUUCCUGCUUGCUAACCGAACGUUAGGUAACAUGGUUGAAAAGCGAGGUUAGCGCGUUGCUAUACCGGCUGUUUUUCAGCAAGCUGAGUGGUGAAAAUUCGGUUCUAACACGAGUUUAACAGAUCCGACGGAGCUGAAAUUUUACGAGCGAUUAGAACACAAGUUUUUGCACAACUUUGGUAUUUAAAACUUAUCUCAAAAGUGCACAGAAGUGGCAGUAAAAGUGAGAUGAAAACAGCGACUGAAAUCUGCCAAGAUUACAACCAUUAAGAUUACUUCAUGACAAGGCAAGUCCGGGAUUGUGGCAAAGUUUCUCGAUACAAGAAGGGUUCUCAACUUGAGGCUAACCUAUUACAUUACCAUCCAAAAACAUAGGUUGCUGAGGAGUAAACAACAAAAGAUCGACUCGAUAUAACAACACCUAGAAAUCGUCUAAGUUGCCCACGGAAGAAGCAUUGUGUGCCGGAGAAGGAGCGUCACCAACUCGGGGCGGAGACUGAAUGUCCUCCAAGUCCAUGCUCGAGACACCCUCAAUCUCCUCAGGGUCUUCCUCCUCCUCCUCCUCCUCCAUCGGGUCAUUUUCCCCCUGCUGCUCAAGCGCAUGGAUUGCAUUUAACUCGGCAUGGUGCUCAUCCAAGUGCGUAUUGGCAAAAGCUAGCUCCAUCUCAACAUCCAAUUUCUCCUGUGCGAGCACCAGCAUGUCGUGCUCCAUAUCUGUCACUUCCUCCUCCAGCUCGGUGAUCCAGGUCUCCAUGUCAGAGAUCCGUAUACCCCUCUGGAUGAGCUCAUACGACUGGUCGACCAAAUCUCUCUUGGUGGUAGUGAGAGCCUCCUGGGUAUCCACAGCCAUCCGAGCCAAGGUAGCCAUAGCUCUCCCCUGGAGCUCGACCAAUCGGUAUAGCGCAUUCAUACACCACACUGAGGUGAAAAUCGUGUGCUGCGGGUGUGUGGUAGCCAACACCUCCAUGUUGUUCAUUCUAUCAAGGCAAUCCGCAUCCAGCCUAUCCCUAGCAGGGAACAAGCCAAUCGGAUCCAAGAGGUCUCGAAAGGGUGUAGUCUGCAGAACUGAGUGAGGGCCUGCAGGGCAGCAGACUCCCAAGUGUCCUCAAGGGUAUCACCAUAGGUCAAGACAUCAAUCUGUGGCCACUGUGGCUGCUCUAGGGGCGGAGGUACGAUCACGCACACGCUGCACCUUUGAACCCCGUGCUCCUGGUACUCACAUCCCGCAUAAAGGGGCGGUGACUAGUACCCAAACCACCUCAAGGUAUCCUACAAGAUAGCGGGAAAACCCUUGAAGUGUAGGCACGUGGAGUGGGAAGUGCCAUCUGCACUGUGAACCACAUGCCCAGGAGCAGCCAUCUGGAACCAAAGAUCGAUAAAAGAGACGUGAGAUCAAAACUUGAAAUGAAUAACAGAUUCUGGUAGGCUAGAGAAAAGCGCAUAACUCAACAAGAACUCAUCCAAAAAUUUCCAAAUUUUACUAGCAUUUUAUUCAGAUAGUUGGUAACAAGUUUGGUAUUCAGAGGUGGAGUGAAAUCAGAUCCUAACAGGGUGAUAUAAUCAGGUUUUUAACAGGUGGUACAUGCGGCAAUUUCAGAGAUAGUGCGGCAGUAAACUGAGCAUAACUCCCAAACCAGAGAUCCAAUUAAGCUGAAAUUUUACCAAAUUUUCUACAAUAAGUUAUUCACAACUUUUCUUAAGCAGUUCUUAGCAGAAAAUGUACUUAAGGAAGUCGAAAAAGUAAAACUAUAACAGGUGCACAAACUAAGUAUUUUAGUAACAAGGAGUUACAACAUUGAUCAUAGCUUACAAUUUCUUUAGGCAAAAGUUACCAAAUUUCACCAGCAGCUUUAUUAAAGGUUUUUACACGAAUUUCUCAUAUAAAGUUUCUGGAGAUAACACAUGAAAACAACCUAAAGGAAUUUUACAAGACAACAUGCUGAAAAGGGGCAGCUAGAAAAUCCUCAACCAAGGAUAACCUUAAACACAUAUGCGGAGAUGAUUUAGCUUUUUGGUUUCACGAAUUUUAGUUCAUGAUGCAUGCAUGACCAACAUCGUCCUCUCAACCAAAAUAAUUGUCAAAAAGUUUUGGACUUACGUGGUUAGUGCUGGUGGUAAGCAACAAUUACGUAUCUCCCUAUAAUAACUAAUCGGGUUUCUAAUAUCGUUUCCUACGCAAACGCGGUUAGUGUACCUGCAGAAAAACACAAUAUAACUUGAACCUUUCAUGCCAGCACUCAUGAAAGUGUCCCCAUUCAUUACCGUUCACUAUAGAAAUAGCACCCAUGCGUUUAACGCUGCAUGGACAGCGCAACAACCGUGGAAAUAGGUCUCUUUGAAUAGAACCAGGAGGAAGUUGGGGAGGCCAAGUGCCAUUUGCAGCCAGCUCAGAGGCAUCAACAUCACCUGAAAGAGAUAUGCCACAACAAGGCUAAGCGACUACGUGUGGCGGAUCCACUUCGGAUUUGCUUAGUCAACAUGAUUAAGCCGCAUGAUACGCGACACUCAUGCCUAAACCAAGUAAACACGAAGUGCCGUCGGAUUUCAUCCGAUUUAACCACUUGAACAGGACCGAAUAGCAAACCCACACGAAGGUGAGCGGUUCCAGAGAAUACAACAAGUCCACCGAGUUAACAAAUUAACCAUUUAGUUUGGCCAUAAAACAACAUCAGAGUUUACAAGUUCGGAAGAGAAACAACAAAAGGUAAAACAACUAGCGGAAGCUAACUCGUCGGGGUCGGACAUCCCUGGUGAGGCCAACCGGGACAUCAGUGAUCCCUCUCCUCGCUGUCCGAGGAGGGAUCCCACUUAACCGUCCAACCCGGAGGGAGUUGGGGCAGCCAAGUGCCAGCAGAGGGAGGCUCCGAGGCAGCAACUUCACCUGAAAAAAAAGAGGAGCCACAACAAGGCUGAGCUACUAAGCUCAACAAGACUUAACCGACAGGGAGUACGCUACUCCACCUCUUCUAGACAUGCAAGGCUUUUUGGCUAAGGGGUUUGUUUGCCAAAAGCACUAGGCGUAUCCCUACUUUCAAGUUUUUAGCUCCGGUUCUAAGUUCAUUAUCCGGUCUAGGUUUGCAAUCUACUCUAAACAGACAUAGAACCAACCAAGGUAUAUACAUCAUCAUCAAGACCAUGUUAUCACCAGAUUCUUUUAUUACUCAGGGUGACAUAGCGAUCAAGCAAUCUCAAACUGUAAGAGGCAGACGAAUUGAUUCGAGUUUCUUAACCAUGCAUGGCGAACCUAAUCUCACGACAUCCACGCACCACCAAGGUCGCUUCCUGUGUCGGCAUCAAUUCCCAGGCGCGUGUCAGGUCCAAACUUCCCUUGGCAUGCAAUGCUCCACAGUCCCGGUCUCUACCAUACUGUGACCGCACUUGCACCCACAUGAUGCACCAUGGGAACCUCGUUCCAGGGACAGCAGGGGUAUAAGCCACGCCCUAGUUCAAUCAGGUACUAGGCUUCCCCAUCCCAUACAAGGUAUGAGAUUAGUACUUUCAAACACUUGAUCACGAACACCACCGCUGUCGGGCCUUAGCAAGUUUCAUAGACAGACGGGGCGAUCAACCGACCACCAAAGAGUUACCCAAAACCCUGCCCCGUCCAUCGUCCUUAUAGUUGUAACAGAAGAGAAACAACCAACUCCUACAACUCGCGAGUGACAGGAAAUCACACGGCUUUUACCGUUUCCUAUUAAGCAAAGCAUCUAACCUGUCCAACAGCUAGUGUUCAGGUCAAGGGAGCUAAGUUAUGCAUCUACGGUUCCAAACAACUCCUAUACGUAAAUGCACAAGCAUGUUAAAGAAGGCAUGCGCAAGUUUGGUAAAACAUAGGGGAUUCAUGCAUCCGGGGCUUGCCUUCGAGCAAGGAGGAGGGAAACUGCUCGUCUGCUUGGGCAGCUUCGGCUUUUGGAGGCAGGAGCUCGGCUACACCUUCGUCUUCUGGCGUCGGGUGCAGCUCGUAGAAGCCGUCGGCGAGACGCAGCUCUACACGAAUGCAAUGCAUUGGUUAGCAUUUAGACGGUUAUUUCAACAGCAACACUUGCAAGUUUGAGCCCAGAAACUUGCGACAAGUUACAGGAGGGUGGGAAGGUUCGAUGGAGUUGAUGGAGAUCAAGAUAUAAGGGUCGGACGGGGAGGAACUUAUGAUCAGACCCUUAAUCUAGAGGAAUAGAUGUGCUAGGGGUCCUCAGACGUAAUGCUGGAAAGUCCCCAAGUUUUAUACAUACACCCUCGGUUCAAAGAAAAAGAUACAGCCGAGCCCUCGGGCGAGGCGGAGAAAGGUCGGCGGAACAGACAGGGUCGGGCGAGACGGAACCGGGGUCGGGCGGAUAGGAGGGGUCGGACGAGGCGAACAAAGGGUCGGUAGCUUACCUUCGUCUUACAGAUGAGGCUUGGGGUCGGGAAAGAACAGGCUUGGGCGGAAAGACUAAGGCUUGGGACAGCGGCGAGGAUGUCCGGUGGUAUGCCGGCGGCGGCGUGCUUCUUGUGGAUCACGAGCAAGCUCUUGUGCAGCACUGGAAGUAGUGGUUGGUGGAUUGGGGGAAGGUGGUGUUUGCGCGGAGAGGAGAGUUCCUCAGACUUAGGCGGUGGCACUGUGAGCACGAACAGGAAAACGGGGCACUGCUGCGGGCGAGGGUCGGGCGAUCCACCUUCCCGACUGUUGGAGUCGGCUGAGCGCCUGGGGUGGAACCAUUCUGAAACACUGCGCAGGUGGGCUGGGCGUUGGCAGUGGGGCUUUCCUCUUCCUCUCGGCUGCCAGAGCCUUCAUGCAGUCCUCUUGUGAGAUGGCCAGGUUAACCAACUCAUUGUACGUAUCCACCCUUAUCGGGUUUAACCUUUCUCUGAGCUGCAAGCUUAGCCCUCUGCGGAAUCUGUCCCGCUUCUUCUCGUCGGUGUCCGCGUGAUAUCCGGCAUAGCGACACAGAUCGUUGAAGGCUUGAGCGUAGUGUAACACAUCUCGGUUUCCCUGGUGAAGAGCCAGGAAUUCAUUGAGCUUGCGAUCCAGGAGACCCUCCGGAAUGUGGUGUGUUCUAAACGCGGUCUUGAACUCGUUCCAGCUGACGAUAUGGUCAGUUGGCAACAUGGCAUGGUAGUGAUCCCACCAUAGCCGGGCGGAACCACGUAGCUGAUGGGCUGCAAACCGGGCCUUAUUGUGGUCGGGGCACUGGGCGGUGAGAAGCUCGAACUUGGAUUCGAUGGUGCGAACCCAGGCGUCUGCAUCGAGCGGGUCUUGGGUCUUCUGGAACAAUGGGGGCUGCGUCCCCAAGAAGUCUUCAUAACGGGCAACAUGAGGUUGCUGCUGAGCCCUUCCACCAUGGGGCUGCUGCUGUUGUUGUCCUUGUACCAGAUGUCUCAGCAGCUCGGUCUGAGCCGCUAAGAUUGCCUCUAGUGGAGAUGGGGGUGGGGGUGGGGGAAGAUCCUGUCUUUGCUCGCUGCUGCCGGGCACAGAACCAGAUCUGGUGCGAUGCGCCAUCUGUAAGAGUUAACGUUCCAUUAAAUUCAUAAUCCUAGAAGUACUCCAACAGAUGGGAACGCACAAGUUAAUUUCUCCAAUGCAACUCUUGCCGAUAAUGCAACACAUAGCCUCAUAAGGGAGAUACACUUUUCCCAUUGUCAUCUUAGUUAGCAUUUAUCUUAGCCCAGUACACGACUUCGGGCGAACCAUACCAUACCCAGACUCCAGGAAUUCCCUUACAUCUGAACUUAAGCCAAGGGGUCGGUAAAAUGAACCACACAGAAAGGGGUCGGGCGAGGCGGAACACUGCCUCGAGGGAUCGGGCGCAUCCGAUCUCGCGACCCAGGGUCGGCCAAACUUGAACAGACCCACAGAAAACGACGUGUGUGGUCACAGCACAAACUCACAUGGUCUAACAUUCCAACAUUUUGCAAAGAGUCAAAGGUCAAUUUAAGGAUCUGAUUUCACUGGGAUCUUUUUACAAAUGUGUUCUAAAACACAAGAAGUACUCAACUCAAGGCUAACCUAUUACAGGACUAUCCAAAAUUUAGGCUGCCGAGGAGUACAACAAAAGAAUGGGUUCCCUACAACUUUCCAUCUACGAGGGAACACUGUGAGUGGGAGAAGGGGCGUCAUCCUCUUCAAUGUCCAUACUGGACGCUUCCUCAACCUCCUCAGGGUCUUCUUGAGCUUCCAGCUGCAUCUAGAGGGCAUGCAUGUCAUCUAGCUCGGCGUGAUGCUCGUCCAGAUGAGCAUUACCAACCGCCAGCUCCAUUUCCACUUCCAUCUUUUCCUCUGAUAACUCGAUCAUGCCGUCCACUAAGUCGGCUACUUCUCCCUCAAGCUCAGAGAUUCGGUCCUGCAUGUCGUGGACUUGAAUGCCCUGUUGGAUGAGCUGAUACGUUUGGCCCACCAUGUCUCUUCUGGCGGCCUGGAGGUGUCCUUGGGUAUCCGCGGCGAUCCGAGCAAGGAUAGCCAUGGCUCGUCCUUGGAGCUCAAUCAGCCGAUAUAAGGCUAACAUGCACCGGAUAUUGGUGGAGAUGGUGACCAUUUAGUAGGAGGUGGCCAACACCUCGAUAUUGCUGACGCGGUCGAGCCAUGUCGGGUCCAACCGAUUCCUGGCAGGGAACAGGCCGAUGGGGUCUAGGGUGACCUCCAGCGGGUGUAGUUGACAGAAUUGAGUGAGGAGUUGAAGAGCAGCUGACUCCCAGGUGUCUUCCAGUGUGUGGCCAUAUGCUGAGAUUCCAAACGGGGGCCAGUCGGUCCGCACAGGAGGGGGAGGUACUACUGCCUGCACGUUGCAUGUUUGGACGCCUCGCUCCAGGUACAACCGUCCCGCAUACAAAGGUGGAGACUGAUACCUGAACCACUUCAAGGUGUCCCACAAGAUAGCGGGAAAACCCUCGAAGUGCAGACACAUCGAAUGGGAGGUGCCAUCUGCGCCAUACAGGACAUGUCCGGGGGCGGCCAUCUGGAACCAGGAACCAAAACAACGUGAGAUGAACUCUAAAGGUCAAGGGUCGGACAGAAAAAGCAUCUGGAUUUUUAACUGAGAACAAGCUGGAAGAAACUAAAAAUCCUUAGAACCGAAGAAGAGCUUUUCCGAGCAAGGUUGUUUUUGAGGAGGGUGACUCUACAGAUUCUUAGCUUAUGUCGCAUGCACGGCCUACCUCGUUCUUAACCAAAACAACUGCCAAAGCUUGGUCUUACGCAGUUAGUGCCGGUGGCAAGGCAACCAGUACGUCUCUCCCUAUAAUAACUAGUCGGUUCUAGCAACGUUUCCUAGGCGAUCGCGGUUAGUGUACCUGCAGAAGACACAACCACAUGAACCUUUCGUGCUAGCACCCACGAAAGCGUUCCCAAACAUUACCGUUCACUAUAGGAACGGCACCCAUGCGUUCAAGGCUGCAUGGACAGCACUCAACCGUGGAAAUAGGUCCCCUUUGAAUGGAACCGUAUAACCCUUCGCAUACUCGUGAUGCGGAAUCAGCGCACGUAUAAUAGACGUGGCGAACAACCGUGAUGAUAGGCUCGUUGGAAUCGAACCAUACCAACCUUCGUAUGGAUUACAUACGGAACCUGCGCACGUAUAAUAAACGUGGGCGAAACAACCGCGAUGAUAGGGUCCUUUGAAUAGAACUCCCUAUCAACCCUCGCAUACUCGUGAUGCGGAACUCGGCACACGUAUGAUAAACGUGGCGACGUGCUGGAAGGGUUAGCAAGAUAACCAAAUAAAUAUUAGCCACCUAAAACAACCCCAAAAUCCCCUAGGGCCUCUCGUACUAAAGUCAUCCUUAACGGUCGUACGAGAUUUUUCAAAGAGUUUCUUGCAACUUUUAUUUUUUUUAAAGAAGUGAUUAGGACCUAUUGUGUUCUUUGUCUUGUUAAACCGGCUCUGAUACCAGCUGUGGCGGAUCCACUUCGGAUUUGCUUGGUCAACAUGAUUAAGCCGCAUGAUACGCGACACUCAUGCCUAAACCAAGUAAACACGAAGUGCCGUCGGAUUUCAUCCGAUUUAACCACUUGAACAGGACCGAAUAGCAAACCCACACGAAGGUGAGCGGUUCCAGAGAAUACAACAAGUCCACCGAGUUAACAAAUUAACCAUUUAGUUUGGCCAUAAAACAACAUCAGAGUUUACAAGUUCGGAAGAGAAACAACAAAAGGUAAAACAACUAGCGGAAGCUAACUCAUCGGGGUCGGACAUCCCUGGUGAGGCCAACCGGGACAUCAGUGAUCCCUCUCCUCACCAUCCGAGGAGGGAUCCCACUCAACCGUCCAACCCGGAGGGAGUUGGGGUGGCCAAGUGCCAGUAGAGGGAGGCUCCGAGGUAGCAACUUCACCUGAAAAAAAAGAGGAGCCACAACAAGGCUGAGCUACUAAGCUCAACAAGACUUAACCGACAGGGAGUACGCUACUCCACCUCUUCUAGACAUGCAAGCCUUUUUGGCUGAGGGGUUUGUUUGCCAAAAGCGUUAGGCGUAUCCCUACUUUCAAGUUUUUAGCUCCGGGAACCUCGUUCCAGGGACAGCAGGGGUAUAAGCCAUGCCCUAGUUCAAUCAGGUACUAGGCUUCCCCAUCCCAUACUAGGUAUGAGAUUAGUACUUUCAAACACUUGAUCACGAACACCACCGCUGUCGGGCCUUAGAAAGUUUCAUAGACAGACGGGGCGAUCAACUGACCACCAAAGAGUUACCCAAAACCCUACCCCGUCCAUCGUCCUUAUAGUUGUAACAGAAGAGAAACAACCAACUCCUACAACUCGCGAGUGACAGGAAAUCACUCGGCUUUUACCGUUUCCUAUUAAGCAAAGCAUCUAACCGGUCCAACAGCUAGUGUUCAGAUCAAGGGAGCUAAGUUAUGCAUCUACGGUUCCAAACAACUCCUAUACGUAAAUGCACAAGCAUGUUAAAGAAGGCAUGUGCAAGUUUGGUAAAACAUAGGGGAUUCAUGCAUCCGGGGCUUGCCUUCAAGCAAGGAGGAGGGAAACUGCUCGUCUGCUUGGGCAGCUUCGGCUUCUGGAGGCAGGAGCUCGGCUACACCUUCGUCUUCUGGCGCCGGGUGCAGCUCGUAGAAGCCGUCGGCAAGACGCAGCUCGACACAAAUGCAAUGCAUUGGUUAGCAUUUAGACGGUUAUUUUAACAGCAACACUUGCAAGUUUGAGCCCAGAAACUUGCGACAAGUUAGAGGAGGGUGGGGAGGUUCGAUGGAGUUGAUGGAGAUCAAGAUAUAAGGGUCGGACGGGGAGAAACUUAUGAUCAGACCCUUAAUCUAGAGGAAUAGAUGUCUAGGGGUCCUCAGACGUAAUGCUGGAAAGUCCCCAAGUUUUAUACAUACACCCUUGGUUCAAAGAAAAAGAUACAGCCGAGCCCUCGGGCGAGGCGGAGAAAGGUCGGCGGAACAGACAGGGUCGGGCGAGACGGAACCGGGGUCGGGCGGAUAGGAGGGGUCGGACGAGGCGAACAAAGGGUCGGUAGCUUACCUUCGUCUUACAGACGAGGCUUGGGGUCGGGAAAGAAUAGGCUUGGGCGGAAAGACUAAGGCUUGGGACAGCGGCGAGGAUGUCCGGUGGUAUGCCGGCGGCGGCGUGCUUCUUGUGGAUCACGAGCAAGCUCUUGUGCAGCACUGGAAGUAGUGGCUGGUGGAUUGGGGGAAGGUGGUGUUUGCGCGGAGAGGAGAGUUCCUCAGACUUAGGCGGUGGCACUGUGAGCACGAACAGGGAGCAAGAGAGAGGGCAGCGAUGGCAAAGGGGAACUCCGGCGGGGCUCCGGCAUUCCCUUUUAUAGCUGCGCGGAAGCGAGAAGGAGAAACGGCGCGAAGGCCGGGGAAGAAGCAAUGGAGUGCUCUGCCGGGGCGGCGAUUGAGCGAUGAGGGCGGUGGAGCAGGACUUCGGGGAUGACACCGGUGGUCAUUGGGCACUGUCGUCAGGGCGGCGCAGGCGCGGGUUUGCCGGUGGUUGAGAUUUGGCGGAGGUGGGCGUCGUCUGCGGUGGAUCUGAUGGAAGUGACCGGGGAAACGGCGCUAGGAACGAGGGCGCACAGGUCAGAAGACAAGCGGUUGCGGUCGCGCGGGCAAGCGCGGAGCAACAGAUUGUCGGGGCGGAGCUUCUGACAUGGCGGAAAAGGGGCUGUCGCUGCCGCGGUCUGGGUUGGCAGAGGAGGAAUCGUCGCGUAGCGAGGACCGGGGCGGCGCGACUGUGGAGAGGUGACGGAAAAGACAGGCGGCAUCGGGCUCUGCAGCCGGGAUCUAGCGAUGUGAUGAUGGACGCGGGCGGUGAGGUGCUGCAGAAAGGGUAGCAGAGGAGCUUCCGCCGCGAUUGGGGAAGGGGGCGCGAGAAUCCAUCCGGUCGUGGCCGGCGACGAGGUGGAGCGGCGGGCGUCGGAGGAGUUGAGCCACGCGGCAAGGGAACUCUGAAGCGGGCAUGCCACUCGAGUGCGCCUGUCGCGGGGGAUCUGGGAGAAAGAUCUCGUGGGUCCACCGGUCAGUCUCGGGGGUCCACGGCUUGAAUUGAAGGGCGGCGUUGUGGGAUGACUUAGAAAGAUCCGACGGUGGGUUGGGGGUCGGCGGGGUCGGAACUAGGGAAAACACGGCGAGGGGUCAGAUCGAAGGGGUCAGGAGAUCUGGAGGUUGAGCACUUAGGCUUGGUAAACGGAGACAGGUGAUAAGGGACUCGGAUUAAGAUUGACGCGAAGGAUUUUUAACCGAGGUCGUUACACUACGCUCAACAAGACUUAACCGACUGGUGGUACUAUUCCAUCAACACCUAAACAUGCAAGUUUUUUGGAUAGAGGGGUUGGUUUUUGCCAAAAGCGACUAGUGUAGGUCGUUACUUUCAAUAUUUUAGCCACAAAUUCUACGAUCAUUUACCAGUCUAAGUUAGCAACUAGACUAAACAAGCAUAGUCUCCAAGCAAUUUAAUGUAGGUAACCAUAUUAGAUCAUCAUCAUCUUUCAUUCUUACUUAGUGUAGCAUAGCGAUCAAGUAGUCCCAAACUGUGAGAGGCAGACGAAUCGAUUCAAAUUUCUUAACCAUGCAUGGCGAACCUAAUCUCAUGACAUCCGCGCACCACGAAGGGUCACUUCACUUGUCAGCCGUCCCUAUCAAUUCUCAGACCCGUGUCGGGCCCACUUCCCUUGGUACAAGGCUCCAUAGAUCUGGCCUUUGCCGUUCUAUGACCACACUUGUCACCACAUGAUGCACCAGGGGAAAACUCAAUUUCCAGAGACAGUGGAACGAUCUGCUCAUGUCCCGGUUCAAUCAGGUACUAGGCUUCCCCAUCCCAUACUAGGUAUGAGAUUAGUACUUUCAAACACUUGAUCACGAACACUAUCACAUCUCGACCUUAGUCUAAUUUCAUGUAGACAAACAGGGCAAUCCACCGACCACCAAAAUAGUUCACAAAGCCCUACCCCGUCCAUCAUCCUUGUAGUUGUAACAAAAAGGAGAGCAAACAACUCCUACAACUCGCGAGUAACAGGCAAUCACUCGACUUUUACCGAGUCCUAUUAAGCAUUGCAACUACUCAACUUCAAAUACUAGUGUUCAUAUCAAAAGGGUGCCUAUCUCAUGCAUCUAUGGUUUCAAACAAUUCUAGCAACGUAAAUGCACAAACAAGGGAAGCAAUUGUAUUGCAAGUAAUUAAAAUAGAGGAAUUUAUGCUCCGGACUUGCCUUCACACGGGGAGGUAGCAAACUGGUCUUCGGCUUGCUCGGGCUCGGCUCUGAUGGGCUGCAGAUCAGCUACGGCUCCUUCUUCUAGCGCCGGGUGAAGCUCGUAAGUCCCGUCAGCGAGGUUCAGCUCUACACAAAAUGCAAUGCAUCAAGUUAAAUUUCCAAGCUUUCUCAUAGGAUGUAAAACACGAGUUAGUACUAAAGAAGAAGUUAUAUUAGGGCCACAUUCACCUAAACAAGGUUCUACACCUUCUUUAUCUGCAUAAGGAAGAUGGGGUGUGGUACAAGUCUGGGGUUGUUUUGAUGGCGAUCGUGUACAUAUAAGCACUUACUUUAUUAUACUUGAGAUCGAAAAGCUAUCCUAUUUCUGAAUGUUCUUUUGUACCUCUUCCAAUAUUACCUUUAAUAUCUGAAGGUAGCAUAUACUUAAAUAUUUUUAUAACAGAAACCAUAAUGAAACUGGUCAUGAAAUUUUUAACAAUGAGUUAUAGGGGUGAUACAGAGCCUUUGAUGAAUUUUUCAAAAAAAAUUUAGUGAAGGGCAUAUUUUUCCAUACAUUUACCCUAUUUAUUCUUCCCUAAAAAGGAAAAUGGUUUCCUAUUGUGUUUCUAAUCAGGUUCCAUAUUUUUCCUACAAACUACACUAUACCACCGACUUAUUCCAGUUGGUUUCACAUUUUUAUCAUCUCUGGUUUAAUUAUUGUGCAAAAGACAAAAACAACCUUAGAUUUGUAUGAAAAAACUAAAAUAGAGGUUUAAACAUCUAAGCUAGGCUUCUCAUGAUUUUUAUGAGCUUCCAUUCUCUUAAACAAGCACUUGAGAGUUGGAUUUACCUUUUAAACAUUUUUUUGUGAUUUGUUAUGAUUUAAAUAGCUUAAACAAGGAUUAAAUCAUAUAACAUUAAUCUUAGCAGUGACAUGUGCUAAAAGUAUUUUUAUUAAAAACUACUAUUAAUACUGAGUCUAACAAAAUUGGUUUGACAUUUUUCUGAACUUUCUAUGAGUUUUGGUGAAUUUCAAAAGUUAAACACAUGCUGCCAAUUAUAAAAGAAAAACCGAGGUAACCUUGCGGUCUAACCCUAGGCGUAACAAUCUAGAUUAAUUAAUCCAUAUUUAAAUCCUAAAUAAAGUCAUUUGCGCAUAAAGGAGAACUUUGACAGUAGUGAAGGCAAGUGAAAGGACACUUUUGCCCCUCACGAGCUAAACCGCUGUUUAAUCAGUAACUUAAAUUUUUGCUUAAGAACCUAAAAAUCUGUCCAACUAAGAGUUGUAGAACUCAACUUUCUUGACAACUUUAUUCUUGGUUUUGCUGGAAUCUGAGCAGAAGACCUUCAAAAAUUUGAAGUACAAAUCUGUGUCAAUUUAAGGAAAACAGAUUAAGUCCCAACUUUGGGGCUCUUUAUUUCGAAAUUUCUAAUAUCAACUCAAGCUGAGCUCUAUAUCAAAGUUUUAGAGCUUCAAGACCUUAAUAACUCUGAUUUAAGAAGUAAGUUCUAAAUCUACACCGAAAGCCUUCAAAAUCAAGGUCAAAGUCACCUAGUUUGGUCAACUCAGCCCAAGACUUGCAAUCUAGACUAAGUCUAGAAAUCAGAUCAACCCUACAUCUUGGCACGAGCUUAUCUCUCAAAAGUUGAACUAAACAUCAUAAAAAUCCUUUAUAAGAGUUUGAGAACGAAGCCUAUACAACAACUUUGUCAAUUGGACCCUAGUCCAAUUCGCCUCCAAAGCUUUUCAAAACUUCAGCUCAAGUCAGCCAAACACCCUGAAAACAGCCAAGCCGCUGUUUUUCUCAAAGUCCGGGAAACCGGCGUUCCUCCAAACUUUCGAGUUUUGAAUCUCCAAAUCCACCGCGAAUUUGAACUCGGUUCAAUUAUAAAAGUUGGACUUUGGUUUGAGGACUACAACUUUUGUUAAGGAAAUUAAUAUUGUGCGGUUCAAGAUUUGGAAGAUCUCGCGCUUGGAAAUUGGCCCGGCGAAAUGAUCCCGCGAAUCCCUCACCCAAAGCGCGCACCAGAGCACGCGCGCCGUGCACUCUAGAGCGCCGCCGCCACGUGGCGCGGCUUCACCGGCGAAGCCGUCUCGCCCAGUCGCCGGCCGCGACAAGAUGGGUCGACGCGCCUCGCUCCCCAAUCGAGCUCAACGGCGCCCUGUAGCUCCCCUGCCCCUUCUGACCUCGCACGAGGGCCUGCCAGCCACGCCAGGCACUCUGCCCGUGGACAUGCCACCAUCCCAGCCACUCCACGGCUGAACCCAGUUGCCGCUGCGCUCGGUGCUGCCUCACACCCCGCGCGCAAUCCGCUCCGACGGGAUCUCCGGCCGCGCCCCGACGCUCCCCGCCUCUCCCGUCCAGACCUGUUGUGGCUCUGCCUGCUCACGCCCUGCAACGCCGCCGCCUCCGCCGCGAUAGCUCCUCCCAGCCUCGCCAAUGACGCGUCCCGGCAAAGCCAAUGUUGCCGCGCACGCUUGCAUCGUUUCGCCCGCGCCUGUCGCCUCGCCUGCCACCCCUCUUCCCCCUCCGUCCGCCAAUGGCGUCGUUGUCAUUAAUGGCCGCGAUAGCAUGCGCCCUGCUCUCCUCCGGCCCACCGGCCAACCGCAAGCCCCAGCGCCUAUAUAAACCCCGCCGGCGCUACCGCGCUCCCCUUCGCCUCUCUCUCCGCUCCAGCUGACCCCAUCCAGAACCUCACCCGCUCGCCAAGCUCCGCCGCCGCAAGCUCCUCUGCUCCGCACUCACACGCUGCCACGCGAGCUUAUCGUGAAGCUCCCCCUUCUGCUCAACCCCGCACCUCGCCGACACCACUAGCCACUUCGCCUCUCUCUCGCGCAACUCUAGAGCCUGCUUGUUGCCCGCGAAGAGUGCCACCACCGCCGGAACACCGCCGGACUUCGCCGCCACCCGAAGCUUCCCGCCCUUCCACCGUUCCGCCCCGACCGAGCCUCCCCGUCACCCCCAACUACUUCAAACCAGCCCAAGGUGAGCCCGUAAGCCUUUCCGGCCCCUUACCGCCCCAAGGCCGUCGGCGAGUUGCCGGAAUUUUGGCCGACCGCCGCCGCCCGGGCCCAAGGACCUGAUUGCGAUUGAGAAAGUCAAAUCAGGGGCUUUACUGCUAAAACUAGGGAGCUUUGUGUGUUUAAACCGUAGACCUAGGGGCUAGACCGUAAGUUUGCCACGAUUUAUCUUUUUAUAUCGGCAGAAUAUAUGUUUAACUUUGGAAAUUCACCAAAAUUCUUAGAAAAUUCAGAAAAAUGUCAAACCAAUUUUGCUAGACUCAGUUUAAAGAGUAGUUUGUAAUAAAAAUACUUUUGGCACAUGUCACUGCUAGACUUAAUGUUAUGUGUUUUAAUUCUUGUUUAAUCUAUUUAAAUCAUAACAAAUCAUAGAAAAAUGCUAAAACGUUAAAUCCAACUCUCAAGUGUUUGUUUCAGAUAGUAGAAGCUGAAAAAUGUUUUGGAACCCAGAUUAGAUGUUUAUUUCUCUAUUUAGUUUUACCAUGGAAAUCUAAGCUUGUUUUUGCCUUUUUGCAUAAUAAUUAAACCAGAAAGGAUAAAAGUAUGAAACCUUUUGGAAUAAGUCAGUGGUAUAAUGUCUUUUGCUGGAAAAAUAUGGAACCGACCAGAAAUAGAAAGAAGGACCACUUUCUUGUUUAGGGAAGAUUAAAUAGGGUAAAUGUACAGAAAAAGAUGCCCUUCACUAAAAAUCAUGAAAAAUUCAUCAAAGGCUCUGUAUUACCCCUAUAACUCACUGUUAAUAUUUCAUGACUAGUUUCAUUAAGGUCUCCGCUAUGAAAAUGUUUAACUAUAAGCUACCUUAAGGUAAUAAAGGUAAUACUGGAAGAGAUACAAAAGAACAUUCAGAAAUAGGAUAACUUUCCGAUCUAAGGUUUAAUAAAAGUAAGUGCUUAUAUGUACACCAUCACCAUCAAAUCAACCCCGGCUUUGCACCACACCCACCCUCCUUAUGUGAAUAAAGAAGGUGUAAAACCUUGUUUAGGUGAAUGUGGCCCUAAUAUAACUUCUUCUUCAGUACUAACUCGUGUUUUACAUCCUAUGAAAAAGUUUGGGAAUUUAACUUGAUGUAUUGCAUUUCGUGUAGAAACCUCGCUGAUGGGACUUACGAGCUUCACCCGGCAUCAGAAGAAGGAACCGUAGCUGAGCUGCAGCCCGUCGGAGCCGAGCCCGAGCAAGCCGAAGACCCGUUUGCUACCUCCCCGCGUGAAGGCAAGCCCCGGAGCAUAAAUUACUAUGUUUAAAUACUCGCAAUAUAUUGGUUAUUUUGAUUGUGCAUUUAUAUUUCUAGGAAUUGAUUGAAACCAUAGAUGCAUGAAUAUAGUGCCCCUUGAUUUGAACACUAGUAUAAGAAGUCGAGUAGUUGCAAUGCUUAAUAGGACUCUGUAAAAGUUGAGUGAUUGACUGUCACUCGCGAGUUAUAGGAGUUGUUUGCUUUCCUUUUGUUACAACUAUAAGGACGAUGGACGGGGCAGGGCUCUAUGAACUAUUUUGGUGGUCAGUGGAUUGCCCUGUCUGUCUACAUGAAAUUGGAUUAAGGUCGAAAUGUGAUAGUGUUCGUGAUCAAGUGUUUGAAAGUAUUAAUCUUAUACCUAGUAUGGGAUGGGGAAGCCUAAUACCUGAUUGAACCGGAACGUGAGCGGAUCGUUCCACUGUCUCUGGAACGGAGUUCCCUUGCAGCCGCAUGUGGUGACAAGUGCAGUAAUAGAAUGGCAGAGGCUGGGUCUAUGGAGCCUUGUACCAAGGGAAGUGGGCCUAACACGGGUUUGGGAAUUGAUGGGGACGGCUAAUAAAUGAAGCGACCCUUUGCGGUGCGCGGAUGUCGUGAGGUUAGGUUCGCCAUGCAUGGUUAAGAAAUUUGAAUCGAUUCAUCUGCCUCUCACAGUUUGGGACUACUUGAUCGCUAUGCUACACUGACUAACAAUGGAACUUGAUGAUGAUGUUAAUGUUAAUGCUUGUCAUAAAUUGUUUGGAAACUAUGCUUGUUUAGUAUAGUUGCUAACUUAGACAGGUAAAUGAACUUAGAACUUGUGGCUAAAAUAUUGAAAGUAAGGACCUACUCUAGUCGCUUUUGGCAAAAACAAACCCCAGAGCCAAAAAGCUUGCAUGUCUAGGUGUUGGUGGAUUAGUACCACCGGUCGGUUAAGUCUUGUUGAGCGUAGUCGCUCAGCCUUGUUGUGGCAUAUCUCUUUCAGGUGAUGUUGACGCCUCUGAGUUUGCUGCAAGUGGCACUUGGCCUCCACAACUUCCUCUUGGGUGGACAGUCGAGUGGGAUCCCUCCUCGGACGGUGAGGAUUGGGAUCAUUGAUAUCAUGGUCGGCUUCAUCAUGAUGUCUGGCAAUGACGUUAGCUUCUGCUUAUUUAUUUCUGCUGCUUGAACUCUACAACUUUGUUUGAAUUUUGAACUCGAUGUUGUAAUAAUCUUGAUGCACUUGUUUAAUCUGGAUGGUCUAUUGUAAUCUCUGAAACCACUCACAUUCGUAUGAGCUAUGCUUUCUCGAUUCUGUGUUAAGUGGUUUAUCGUACGAAAUCUGACGGACUACCAGGUUAACUUGAUUAAAGUACAGGAUCGCAUGUUAGGUGACUUAAAUGUGCUUUAGCUAAGUUAAUUUGGGCGGUUCCGCCACACUAGGUCUAUACUUUAAUCUCGUAGGGGUCCCUGAUCUUUGCACUAAAGCCCUUUACUCGACUUUCUAAACCGCAAUCGGGUCCCUAGCGCGUGGGUUGUGGCGGCCGGCCAAAAUUCCGGCGAUUCGUUGGCGACCUUGGGACGGUAAGGGUCUAGGAAGGCUUACGAGCUCACCUUGGGCCGGUUUGAAGCAGUUGGGGGUGACGGGGAGGCUCGGUUGGGGCGGAACGGCGCAAAGGCGGGGAGCUUCGGGUGGUGGUGAAGUCCAGCGGCAGCGGCACUCUUUGCGGGACCCGGACGGGCUCUAGAGCUACACGAGAGAGAGGUGAAGCGGCUGGCGGUGUCGGCGAGGUGCAGGGUUGAGCGGAAGGGGGAGCUCCACGGUGAGCUCACGCGGCGGCGUGUGAGCGCGGAGUAGAGGAGCUUGCGGCGGCGGAGCUUGGCGAGUGGGUGAGGUUCUGGACGGAGUCAACUAGAGCGGAGAGAGAGGCGAAGGGAGCACGGUAGUGCCGGCGGGGUUUAUAUAGGCGCCGGAGCUCAUGGCUGGCCGGUGGGCCGGAGGAGAGCGGGGUGCGUGCUGUCGCGGCCAUUAAUGGUGAUGACGCCAUUAGCGGACAGAGGAGGGAGAGGGGCGUGGCAGGCGAGGCGACAGGCGCGAGCGAAGCGAAGCGAGCGUGCGCGGCAAUAGCGGCUUUGCCGGGAUGCGUCACUGGCGAGGCGGGGAGGAGUUCUCGCGGCUGGGACGGCGGUUGGUGGAGGCGGCGGCGUCACGGGGCGCGAGCGGGCAAAGCCGCGGCAGGUCUUGAUGUGAGAGGCGAGGAGCAUCAGGGCACGGCCGGAGAUCCUGGCGGAGUGGAUCGCGCGCGGGGUGCGAGGCAGCACCGGGCGCAGCGGCAACCUGCUUGGGCCGCGGAGUGGCUGGGACGGCAGUGUGUCCGUGGGCAGAGUGCUUGGCGUGGCUGGCAAGGCCUCGGGCGAGGCGAGACGGGGUGGAAGAGCUGCAUGGUGAUGUCGAGCUCGACUGGGAAACGAGGCGUGUCGACCCAUCCUAUCACGGCCGGGGACUGGGCGAGACGGCUUCGCCGAUGAAGCCGCACCACGCGGCGGUGGCGCUCUGGAGCAUGCGGCACGCGUGCCCUGGCGCACGCUGGGCCGAGGGAUUUGCGGGAUCCCUCCCCGGGCUGAUUUCUAGGCACAAGAUCUCCUAAAUCUUGAACCGCAUAACAUUAACCCCCUUUACCAAAGUUGUAGUCCUCAGACCAAAGUUCAACUUUUGUAAUUGGACCGAGUUCAAAUUUGUGGUAGAUUCGGAGAUUCAAAGCUGUAAAGUUUGGAAGAACGCCGGUUUUCCAGACUUAGAGAAAAACGACGGUUUGGCUGGUUUUUAGGUCUUUGGCUGACUUGAGCUUGAAAUUUGAAAGGUUCCUGAUGCAAAAUAGAUCAGAGUCCAUUUAACAAAGUUGUUAUACAAACUUAAUUCUCAAACUAUUAUAAAGGGUUUUUCUGAUGUUCUGCCCAACUUUUGAGAGAUAAGCCCACGCUAAGAUGCCAGGUUAGGCUGUUUUCAAGACUUAGCCUGGAUUGCCAAUUGAGGCUGGGUUGAACAAACUAGUUGGCUUUGACCUGAGUUUUGAAGGCUUUUGGGGCAGAUUUAGAUCUUACUUCUUUAAUCAAAAUUGUUAAGGUCUCGAAGCUCUAAAACUUUGGUAUAGAGCUCAGCUUGAGUUUUUAUUUAGAUAUUUCAAAAUAAAUAGUCCCAAAGUCGAAACUUCAACUAUUUUUCUUAAUUAACACGAUUCAAAUUUCGAGUUUUUGAAAAGCUUCUACUCAGAUUCAGGCAAAACACCAAAAAUAAAAGCUAUUAGGAAAGUUGAUUUCUACAACUCUUAGCUGGACAGAUUUUUAAGUUCUUAAGCGAAAAUUUGAGUUACGGUUUAAACAGCAGUUUAGCUUGUGAGGGCAAAAGUGUCUUUUUACUUGCCUUCACCGCUGCCAAAGUUUUUCUUUAAGCGCUAAUGACUUUAUUUAAGAUUUAAACAUGGCUUAGUUAAGCUAGGUUGUUUCACGCCCUCCCUGGAGAGGGCUAAACACUGGACUAUGUACUUUGAUGGCGCCCUCAACCUCGAAGGAGCCGGCGUGGGGUCCUCUUUAUAUCCCCCAAAGGCGAGCAACUCAAGUACGUGCUCCAGAUCCACUACAAGGCUACCAACAACGGUGCCGAGUAUGAAGCUCUCAUCCACGGCCUCCACAUCAUCGUCUCCCUCGGAAUCAAACGCAUCAUUGCUUAUGGCGACUCCAAGGUUGUCAUCGAGCAAGUCAACAAGAACCGGGACUGCACCAAGGAGUCCAUGGACGCUUACUGCAUGAAAAUCCGCAAACUUGAGGCCCACUUCGAUGCCCUUGAGUUCCGCCAUGUCCCCAAGGACCAUAAUAUCACCGCCGAUGUCCUGUCCAAGCUUGGCUCCAAGCGUGCGCAGGUUCUGGCUGGCAUAUUCAUACAAGACCUCCAGAAACCUUCCAUCAAAACCUUGGAAUAUGAACAUGUCAACGACGCUGGCGCUCCGGUCUCGGCCGACCCAAAAUCUACUGACGUCAUGAUGAUUGAGGCAGAAAAAGUCUGGCGCACCCCAUUCAUAGCCUUGACCACCGAUCAGAUGGCGCCAGAGGAUAAAAUAGAACAUGAAAAAUUAGCUCGGCGCAGUGCAAAUUACGUCGUUAUCGGCAAGGAGCUCUACAGGAAAGCUACAUCUAUAGGCAUCCUGAUGAAGUGCAUUCUGCACAGCGAAAGCCUCGAACUCCUGCAUGAAAUCCACUCAGGAACAUGUGUCAACCACGCCGCCUCGAGCAUUUUGGUUGGCAAAGCCUUCCGCUCUGGUUUCUACUGGCCAACAGCGAUAGUCGAUGCAAACGAGCUCGUCCAAAGGUGCAAAGGGUGUCAAUUCUUCUCCAAGCAGCAGCAUCUGUCAGCUCAGGCCUUGCGCACCAUCCCACCAUCCUAGCCUUUUGCAUGCUAGGGGCUGGACAUGGUCGGACCCUUCAAGACCACUUCAGGUGGCUACACACAGAUCUUUGUGGCAGUUGACAAAUUCACCAAGUAGAUUGAGGUCAAGGCUGUCACCAGCAUCAAGUCAGCUAAAGUCGCUCAAUUCAUGGAGGAAAUUACACACCGUUUUGGAGUGCCGAACAGGAUCAUCACCGACCUUGGCAAGCAAUUCACAGGCUCCGAGUUUUGGGAUUUCUACCAAGACAACCUCAUCGAUGUGUACUACUCCUCAGUAGCACACCGUGCUGCAAGGGUCAAGUCGAAUGUGCGAACGGGAUGGUCCUCUAAUCCCUCAAGUCACGCAUCUUCAACGACGCAUCCAAGUACGCCACCAAGUGGCUACGCGAGUUACCCCAUGUCAUUUGGGGCCUACAAACAUAGAAGAGCCGGGCUACCGGCUACACCCCUAUCUUUAUGGUGUACGGCUUAGAGAUCGUCCUGCCAUCCGACGUGGCAUUUGGCGCCCCUCGCAUCCAAUACUACAAGGAAGGUGAGGCAGAAAUAAGUCGACGGGUAGACAUCGACAGUCUUGAAGAGCAUCACGUGGCAGCCCUCAUCCAGCACGCACGCCACGAGCAGCAGAUACGGCGCUACCAUGAUCGGAAUGCCAGGGAACGUUCCUUCAACGUUGGUGAUUUGGUGCUUCGCUGGAUCUAGUCCACCAAGGAUAUACACAAGCUGGCCGCCCCCUGGGAGGGCCCCUUCAUCGUUAAAGAAGUCAUCUAGCUAGGAACUUAUCGACUCCAAUAGGUGGAUGGCUCAGGCGUCCCCAAUCCAUGGAACAUCGAGCACCUACGGCGCUUCUACCCUUAGGAUUCACAAGCUAUUUAUUCUACUUUUCCCUUUUCAUUAAAUAAAUACAACCUCUGUGGUUCUUAGUGUACCUAGUGCCUUAUUGUUUCUUUUACCCGAGCUGUUCCUGACGCUCGGAGGCUGUCCAACCUGUUAGCUCGCUCUCAGGGGCUACCCCCAGGCGCUGACCUCCAGGUCCCGCAUCCUUCUCCUCCCCCUCUUGAGGCAAUACGACUAACUCGUGUGGUCGGCGUCCCAGCUUGAGAAACCUAGACAACCUUGCAUUCACCCCUCCAACAAGCUCGAGAUCCGGUCUCAGCAUGACACUAGUCAGGCAAGGCUCGGCGCGACUGCAGGCCUCAGCUACAUGUUGUCCUGUCGUAUACACCAAGGGAUGGAUGGAGACUCUUUUUUCUCCACAUACGGUUAAGUUAAUUACAUCACUUGUCUUUUAAGAUAGUUUAAUACACCUCAGAGUUUAACACAGUUUAAUGCUCGGAGUGUACUUUUGAGAGGUCUCCUGAACAAGAGUACCUUAGAGUGUUUCGAUGUUUUGCACGUGUGAGAGCAAGUGCCUCUCUUAUAUAGGCUCCAAGAGGUGAGGUUCAUCAAACCUGGACAUCAUAAUGCGAUGGAAGUUACUAGUAAUUGAUGGGAAUAAUGGUCAUCACUAAUAACUCUUAAUAUUUUAUUGGCUGUGUUAAUUGAGUGAAGCAAUUCUCAUAAACAACAAUAAUAACCUCUCCUCAACUUCCCAAGCAAAAUUGACCAUCACUCCUAACAUUUAUGGUGGACCUUUUAAUUCUUAUUUGAUUAAUUGAAAUAAAUGUGCCUAACCUAAUUAAUCCAACAGUUAUUAGCUGACAGGACACUUUGGUAAAGGAAUCACAAGUCUCUUAUUCGUUAGAAAUUUAGUAGAACUCAGCCGGCAGCGUGCUGGACAGUCGUAUCUGUAAAGUGUAAAGAAACCGAGCAUUUCGUGUUUUGCAUGUCCGACGGAAGAGCGGCUUCUCAAUUAACUUUUUUGCAGGGUAUCUUGCAACCACCAUGGGUCCAAUUUUAUAAGACACAAUACAAAGCAUUCACCGUAUCAUUGUACUAGCAUCUAUCAUUUGUGUCGGUAGUAUGGCAUAUCACAUUUCGUACAGGAAACUGAAACGGAUUAGGUGCCUCUUCCAACACAUAAUCAGCGAUUUGGUACACAGAUCGUUACUAAUGAUUGCAUCCUUACCUGUACCAAUAAUGAUGUCGUCCGUUUAUUAACAUCCCUGUAACCGGCUGUGCGCGAAUCGGCCCGUUCGGCCGUUCCUAACGCAUCAUCGAAGAGGACUAGCUGUGCAUUUCCGACGACGAGCAUAAAAAAUGCAGUGCACAGGUACAAGGCACUGUCGACAAUACACAUCACCGGAUAACUGCCAAGAGGCCGUUGCUUUUUUAAUGGUGCACGCAUGACUACCCGAAGUCUCCGUUCCUCGCAUGAUUUGCUCCGGAGCCAUGUGACCCCUACCAAAGAACGUCGGGUGCAACAGCCCUUGAUGGCGAUCGCGGCGCACUGCGUUCCAUCGAUCGAGUCUUUUCCUCCCCUAUAAAUACCCCAGCAAGGUGCUCUUCCCCAACCAUCCAAAACACCGAAUCUUAGUGUCUGCUCGGUACUAGCAGUAGCUAUACCUUCAGUAGAUCUUAAGCUUGGAGUAGAAUUUGUGUUUGCUGCACUGAGCUAAGAUGGCCUCCUCUUCCAAGGCUGCAGCAUUUGCUGCACUGCUCUUCUCCCUCCUUGUCACGUAUGGCUCGUGCACUCGGCCGGUGAACUUUAACGAGUCGGACUUCACCGCCGACCCCAACUGGGAGGCCGCCAGGGCCACCUGGUAUGGGGCACCCACCGGCGCCGGUCCUGACGACGACGGUACGUAAUUCUCGGUCAUGGCUACGUAUGGGUAUUGGCGUAUUGCUGAAUGCCGCAUUUUUGGACGAUUAAUAAACUAACUCUGCAUGCAUGCCCUUGGCGACCCAUCUUUUUUUGUGCAGGUGGCGCCUGCGGGUUCAAGAACGUGAACCUGCCACCGUUCUCGGCGAUGACGUCCUGCGGCAACGAGCCACUGUUCAAGGACGGCAAGGGCUGCGGCUCCUGCUACCAGGUACGUAGACUUUUCCGUCUCUGCCGUGUCGUGGAAAACAGGAAAAGGAUACCGAUCCGAAAGCUUAUUUGAGGUACAUGCAGUUGUUGUUUUCACUAACUCCAUUUGUUGCUCCUCUUCUUCAGAUACGAUGCACCAACCACGCUGCGUGCUCCGGCAACCCGGAGACGGUGAUAAUCACCGACAUGAACUACUACCCCGUCGCCAAGUACCACUUCGACCUCAGCGGCACGGCCUUCGGCGCCAUGGCCAAGCCAGGCCGCAACGAUGAGCUCCGCCAUGCCGGCAUCAUCGACAUCCAAUUCAAGAGGUGGGUACCAUGCAUUGCUGCUCGUUGCACAGAGCCGCAGAACAGAAUCAUUAGCUCGACCGUCUAGCUUACCUGUUCUGUGGAGCCCUUGUACUUUUGCUCAACCGAUUUUGACGACACGACAGCCAGUUUUAAAUGGGGGGCUGGGGCCCACGUAGAUUCGCAGAAAUAUUUAGUACCAGUACUUCCAAUUCACUCCGAAUUUGGAGUCUGCAUGCACUGUGGAUCGACAAAGGUUGCUUAAUUUGAAGCCUAAUCCAUGUCCAAACGC
This 88566-nucleotide long non-coding RNA is filed under the name Setaria italica (foxtail millet). Its description in RNAcentral is "long non-coding RNA (SITA_LNC007009)". Lineage: Eukaryota; Viridiplantae; Streptophyta; Magnoliopsida; Poales; Poaceae. The record is from RNAcentral.